RNAcentral lists this long non-coding RNA (52631 nucleotides) under Marmota monax (woodchuck). Lineage: Eukaryota; Metazoa; Chordata; Mammalia; Rodentia; Sciuridae. The record is from RNAcentral.
GAGGGCAGGCCAGAGGAGCAAAGAAGCCUAAUCUGAGAGUCCAGGAGGCUGUGUGCCCUGCUUGGAAUGCUCUUCUCUGAAUGGGCGCAUUAGCACCUUUCCUGUUCAGCUGGGACUCCAGAUGGCAAGACCAGAAUGGUAGGAAUCCCCACAGCCCCCUCCCUGUUGGUUCUGGUCUGAUUGUCCUGGGCAGAAGGUGCAGCUGCUAUGGAUUUUGCUGGGCCUGGUGUCUCAGUGAGUUGUAGGCAGCAGCUGGCCUUGCUGGGGCCGUUGGAGGCUGAACAGAGACCCCAGGGUAGGUGGUCACCCCUUGGCUUUUCAGGCACAGCCUCCCUGUCCUGGGUCUCUCAUGUGGGAAGAAGUGUCCUGUCCCCUCGCGAGGCAGUGGGAGGCCCAGCAUGCUGGCCCAGACCCAGAGGUGGAGCUGCUGCUUUCUUGGCUGACUCCCAGGUGUCAGUAGGGACGGUUCCAGCCUAAGUGGCCUGAUACCUUGAGUUCAAAAUGCCCUUGACCAGCACAGCCUGGCUCAAGGACCAGGAGCAGUCCAGUAUCCCUGGAGAAGCCAAGCCUGAAGGUAGGGCCUGGGCGCAGAGUGGGAGGCUGGGCACUUUGCUGGGACUGCUUUCCCAGAGAGCCAAAGGUUCACGUGCUUCCUCAAGGAUGGUUCUCUGGCCUCAGGCAGGCUCUGGCCUUCCCUCGGCAUCAGGCCCUGCCAGGCUACUGCCAUUCUCAGUGAUGCGUGUGUCUUGUUGGUGGACACAGACCCCUGGGGGGCCUAGAGGUUGGCAGCAGUGGCUCAGGAUGGGUCCUUGCAUCUGCGCUUCCCCUGACCUGAGCCACCAUUCUUUCCAAACCCACAAAGCUGGCUCCUCUGCCCAUCUGUCCAUCUCUCAUUCCCCUUUCUUCUCCUUGCUUUCUGUUUUAAACCCCGGAUGGUCAGGGAAUUCAUGCUACAGCUACUGUCCUCAGGGAAGCCCAACACCCGGGGUCCUUGAUUUUCAAGACAGAAAAGAAAAAAAUGCACAUGUCAAAUCUUCAGACGUGAAUCUGCGGGUGACCAGGAAAAAGGGACAGCACCAUGACUCCCAGGGUGUUAGCAUUGGCCACCUUCUUUCAGCCUGAGUGUGAUCUGGUUCUUGGUCCCACCUGUUCCCACACACCUGUUUCUACAGCAGGUGACAGAUUUGUAUGAGUGUCAAGGAAAUGUUUCUUUAAACUCACUGGACUACAAAGUUUAUUUUUAAUAUCUAGGGAAUACAUGCAAAACGAAUACUUAGUAAAUGUUAUGAAACAUGAUUACUUUGUUUCUCUCUCUCUCUCUUUUUAUUUAUUUAUUUAUUUUUGAUGGUACUGAGGAUUGAACCCAGGACCUCAGACAUGCUAAAUGCAUGCUCUUCCACCCAGCUGCACCCAGCCCUGAUGUUUCUGGUCAAGAAAGACACAGAGCUGAAAGCCGCGUCAGCUCUAUAUUUCCCCCUUUCAACUGAAUUAUUUGUUUCCUUGUGGUUCGACUUUUUUUUUUUUUUUUUUUGGUACCAGGGAUUGAACUCAGGGACACUCAACCACUGAGCCACAUCCCAGCCCUAUUUUGUGUUUUAUUUAAAGACAGGGUCUCACUGAGUUGUUUAGCACCUCACCAUUGCUGAGGCUGGCUUUGAACCCAUGAUCCUCCUGUCUCAGCCUCCUGAGCUGCUGGAAUUACAGGCAUCCGCCACUGCGCCUGGCUUACUAACUUUUGAGAGAUUGUCUUUAAAAAAAUUGAAGUGUGUUUGUGUGUGUAUUCCUCUGGCUCUUAAAGAUGAGAACGUUUUACUCAUUGUACUGAAGGUUACAUUUUAAUGACAAGUGUGGUAGUGUGUGAGAUUAUUCAUUUUCUCACAACAGAGCCAUGAAACAGCACUGUCCCAUUUUAUUUACAGAAACACUGAGACCAGAAAGUUUCCAAGGUUAUAUACCCAAUCGGUUGGCCUGCGAUUUUCUGUUAUCAGUCCUCUCAGAUACCUAAGCAGUUCUUCCGCUGUUGGUUUUACAUGGGCUGAGAUGUUUUCCUGCAGUUCUUAUGCCAACUCUGACCAGCAUUAUAUUUAGUUGAUUCUCUCAUGAUAGGUUUAGAUUGAUAAACUGAUUAGCAGGAAAUGACUCAAUUUUUUUCAUAGUGACUUUAGGAAAUAUACAAAAAUGUGGUCAGAAUUUUAUCUCAAUUUCGGUCUAUGAUUUCAAUUAUGUAUCUUGUAGGUGAAUCCUAUUUCUAAUGUGUGUGUUUUAAAUGAGACUCCAUACUGGCCCCCUGAGUAGACAGAGUGGGUGGCAGCUUUACCUUCCUCACCACACAGGUUUCUGCUGGGUGUUCACUUCUGGGUGACAGAGGUCUCCCCGCUGUGUUUGUGUUUACUAACACUCGUUCUGGGAAUUCUCUUCCAAGCUUGUCAUCUUUGUUUUCCCCCAAACCACCCAGAUUUGCCUUCUUUUUCUACAGAUGCAUAGCCAACUGGCUUCGCUCUCUCUUUUUUCGAGUCUGCAGUGUGUGACUUUGACAAGAUCAGGGGAUUCAGAAACCACAUUUUUGGCUUUGUCCCUGAGGCAGCAGUACCAGCACACUUGCAGAGAAUAAAUGUUUGUACUCCCUGAGUGCAUUCCAGCCAGCAAUGUAGGUGGGAGCUUGUCAAACUUGAUCGCAGGAGCAGGAAGCGAAGUUGGUCCUCAGUGCUUGCGGGUGCUUGCGGGUGGGGUAGCUCCACACUCCUAGGCAUGGCUGCUCCCCCAGAAACUGGCAGUAACCUUCUUUUCCCUCACCAGAAGCCUCUGUGUGGCCACGAGGACAGGGUGCUGGAGGCGUGCCUGUUUGCAGAUGUCCUUUGCUCCCAUCCGGGUGCUUGCUCUCAUCUGACCCCUAUGAUCUUCCAUUGCACUCUUUUAAAUAAAGAAUGCACUUUAAAAAGCACCAAAUUUCCCAUCUCUUUGGGGCUGUGGAAGGUCUGGAAGGUCCAGACUUCAGCCUGCAGAGACAGGGAGGGGAGUCUGUGGACCACCUAGGAGGCACAGAAGCUUUGGCAGUUCACAAGCUAGUGGGGGUGGAGGAACAACUUGGCAUUUAGAGAAAGAGAGAAAACAAAUGUUAGGAUUGAAGAGGACCCAGAAGCAAUCAACUGCAGAGGUUCCCCAAAGCCUAUCUCAGCAUAGGGAUUCACUGCUCUCUUUAACUGACGGGUGGAAGAGGGUGGAAAGGAGAGGAUCCUGCAAAAAAUGUGGUUCUGAUCUCCAAGUUUAUGAUCCACUGGAAACGUAGCCCUCUCUCCAAUCCCCAUUAUACAGAUGAAGCCCAGAAUAGGGACAUGACUUUUCCAAUAUUUACGACCCUUUAGUAGUGAAACAAGAAUACAAAUUCCAACAACUCAUUGGUCAUUUCUCAGUCUAGUACAAUACAGAUAUAACGCUCUUUCAGAGGGAAAGAGUGUUCUGUGGCCAUAAUGAUAAGAACUCAAAUGCUGAGCAAAUAGUGGAAAAAUAAAAAGGGGGCGGUGGGUGCAGCAGAUCACUAGGGUACUGCCGAGGUGCCAACACACACUCCUCACUGUGAGGCUGAAUUCAGAUUCUGCACACAAAGGCCAGGCAUGUCAUACAGAUAAGAAAAACAUGGUCUGGACUGGAAAAUGAUUGCUCCAGAGAUGCCAUUGGCCCUGCUCCUUCCGUCUUCCCUCUCAAGGCCUGGGAUACAGUCAAGUGAGUUUGCCCUGAAGAUUAAGAGGCCCAGAGCUGAGGAGAUCAUUACAACUCCUGAGUUCCCAGCACAGAUCUGAGGGUGGGAGCAUAUGAUACGGUUGUGUUUUUAAAAAAAAAAAAAAAACAACAGCCCAAGAAGCCCUGAAGGAAAGAAUAUCUUAGGUCAAGUGUUAGGAAAAACUUGCAAGAACCCAGAGCUGUUUCUCUGAUGCUCUGGGGAGCUUCUUUCUCUGCCACGUUCAUAUCUUGAUUUUAUUUUUUUUCCACAACAACACAGCAAAGCAGAAACGAUCAUUCUGCAGAUCAAGUUCAGGUCAAUUUCUUGGGUUGUCUGUCUUGCUUCUGUGCUUUGAAGGAAUUUGUUUAGUAGAUACAGCAGACAAGCAGCCGCCUGGCCUUUCCCCCAGUUCCAGUCAGCACCAAGUCUCUGCAAGUGAGGAACAGGGUUCUCCUUAACCCUUCAGAUGGUGCCAGGGCAAAUUCCACAGAGCAAUCACGAGUCAAGGGACUGCCUCUGGCCUGGAGGUGCCCAGCCGGCUGGAAUUACAGGAUGGCUUUUCCCGCUGUAGGCAUUCACGCAAGCUGUUGUUAUUCUUCCUCCUCUAGCAAAAGAAAGGAAAAUCCCAGUGCUCAGCACACUGGGGCUGACUCACGGACUUGCGUUUUCUGUCCUGGAACAGGGACUGGCUCAGCGAGACACCUCGAGCUGAUAUUCUAUAGCCAAGAUGCCUGCCUCUGGUGGGCCACAGGGGAGAGUUGCCGCUCGGGAGUCUCAAUGCCCCCUUGGAAUGAUACCAGUCUUCAUUAUUUAACAGUUAUUCAGCAUCAGAGAAAAUGUAGCCCAAGAAAAAGGCUGAACUUACAUGACUUCCCCAAUAGGAGUGUUUUAAGAAUUAGAUACAGAAAUCAGAUCGCAUUAAAUAGUGUAUUUCUAAGCUGAGUGCGUGUUAAAUUUCCUAAUGGGCCAAACAGGGAAACAGAGAAGGUAGUUGCGGAUGCCCAGUGUUGUUGGUAUAUCUGUAACUAGAAGCAUGUGGACCUGAUGAGCCAGUUUUUGUGCCCUCUGACCUUGAGGCUUCCCAAGCACUUUGGCACCUGAAGAUGCCCAAGAGACCUGUCUUCAUGUUCCAUGUACUGGCAGCUACUGAGACAAUAGUGACAUUGACCCAAAUGUAGGAGCCAGACUCUUAGAGGCCUCUGUAGUAACCAUUUUAUAUACAUAAUGUCCUCUAAGAGGUUUCAUUUACCAAAUAAUCACUUACUAUAGCAGUUGUCUAGGUGUGGCCUUGUGAUUCCCAGGAGCCCAGGAACACUUCAGGUUACCCAGUGCAUCUAAACGGAGCCCACAGUUGUACUAAGAUGCCAUUUACCUUUUUCACCAUAUUGAUACUGUGCUGAUGGUGUAAAAGCACUGGUGAAGAAAACUCCUGAGCAGUGGCACCAAACCAUGAUUAAGCAGCUGUAACUGUCACUGUAUUCUAUAUUGCAACACAUUCAUACUAAAAGGAAAGUAAAAGAAAAAGUCCCACUAGGUUUAUUUAAGAAUGCCCUUAGGUGGAUCUCAGGGUGUAGUUCAACAGUUGGGUGCUUCCCUAGCAUGCAUGUGGACAUGGGUUUGAUCUCCAGAAACAAAGGGAAAAAAAAGUAUUUGAUGAAGCUGUGCAAACUACUAAUUUUAUUGCCUUAAAACCCUUAAAUACACAUCCUUUUAAUAACCCAUGUGAUGAAAUAGGAAACGUGCAUGAAGCCCAUCUACUGCAUAUGGAAGUACAAGAUUUGUCUCAGGGAAAAACACUUGUAUAAUUGAGUUACAAGCUAAACUAUCUACUUUGGUCAUGGAAUUCCAUUUUUCACUUUGGUAUUUGGUAGACAUUCUCUCAAAAAUAAACAACCAAACCUGUCACUUCAAAGAAAGUACUUGAGAGUAUUUGUCUUCAGUGGUAAAAUUUGAGUUUUUAAGCAAAAAUUAAAAUUUUGGAAAACUUGUAUUAGCCACCAUGAGCUUCACAGCUUAUCAAUAUUUAAAGUGUUUAGUGAUGAGAUCAACGGUGAUGUCAACAAAUUCAACGUUUUGUUUGAUUUUUGCAGAGUUGUGGAUUCAACCCAGGCUCAGGCAUGCUAGGCAAGUGCUCUACCACUGAUUUACACUUCCAACCCCUACAAAUGCAAUUUUUAAAUGCAGUAUAAUAUAAUGUACAUUCAGGAGAUCUAUAAAACUCAGUGAUACAGAAUUUUCCAAAUGACCGAUGCCUGAUGUUAAAAACAUGCAUAAGCAAAAUAUUCAAGGCACAAAACAGAUCAAUAAUUUUUAUGUGAUACAAAUGAAAAAAAUGAUUCACGUGGCUUUAGACUCUGCACUGCAAUUUCCCUUUGAGAAACUAAAAUUCAUGCAGUUUUGGUGUAGUAUCAAAACAUUUCACACACUUAUUUGAAAAGAGUCAUAAAAUAUCCCUCUCUUUUCCAAUGACAAGUCCAUGUGAUGCCAGAUUUUCUUUGUAUACUUCAACUAAAACAAUAUAUCUCAGCAGAAUGAAAGCGGGAACAGAUAGAAUCCAGCUGUCUUCUAUUAAGUCAGAUGUUAGAGAUUUGCAAAAAUGUAAAACAACGUCAUGCUUCUCACCAUUUUGUUUUGUUUAGGAAAAUCUAGUCUUUCAAAAAUAAAAAUAUAUUACUUAACAGUAGCACAAAAUGGACUAACAUAUCUUUAAGCAUCUUAAAUUUGUUUCCAUUUUUCAUGUGGUAAAUAUCUAUAGGUAUAAUACAAAUAAAUAAAAACCCUUUAGGAUUCGCAAUACUUUUAAGACUGUAAAGGGGUCCUGAGCCCACAUAUUUGAAAAAUGCUGACCUACUGAAACCUCACAUAUAAGGGCAUCCUAUAUGGGAAGCUUAGCAGAGCAUAGGAGCAUAUGUUUGAGAGUCCUGCAGACUCCAAAUUCUAACUUAGGAUUCAAAUUCUGACUUUGCCACCUACUAGCUAUUUGACUUAACAACUUAAUUGUUCCAAGAGCCAGUUUCUUCAUCUGUAAAAUGAGAAUAGUAGCAUGCACCUUAUAGAUCAUCUGAGGGUUAGAAUAAGUUUGAACAAUGCAGUUAGCAUAAGGCUUAAUGGUAGGUGCUUAAGUGCCUGUUGAUGCAUAAACUCAGCAUGAUGUUCAAAAUCAGCGGGUGCCUUUGGUUUCAAGGGACAGAAAUGGUUUCAAGGUACCUGCAUGUAGUUCACCCUGUGACUACCUUCUAUUACAAAAGUCUAGAGACAGAAGAGUGACAUCCUAAGAAUCAGGUGCUCUUAUAUAACCUAAUACGUAUUUGGUCUCUCUGCUGGGUCCCUCAGUGCUGGCCUUCCCCUUUAGGCAGAGAGCAAGAUAGCAACAGCAGUUCCCAGGGGUCAUGUUGAGGCAGGAUAAUGUGCUGAGGAAAAAGAGAGAUUUUUUUCUUCCCUAAGCUUUCUCUGAGGAUAAAGAGGAAAUUUUUCCAGACUUUCACAUUUCACUGAUUUGAAUUUGGUCACAUGUCCAUUCCUGAGCCAAUUCCUGGCCUGGGGCAAGGGGUGUCCUUGUGAUCGGUCAGGCCCACUUCCGGGCUGGAGGUGGGGGCAAGCUUCCUGGAGGCCCAGGUCUGGUGGGGAUGGCUGGUACCUGAACAGAACCAUGGGGCUCUGCUAGUAUGGGAGGAAGGGGUAUAAAAGGAACAAAGUAGGCAAUCCCACAGGACCCACCGUGUUCAGUAAAUGGAGUCUAGAACAGUGGGUCCCAAAUAAGACUGGCAGACUGUCUAAGUAGGAAUCUCCUGGGAGCUUGUUAAAAAACAUAAUUCAAACAGUGAUUUGCAUAUAAAUUGCCUGGGGAUCUUGUUAAAGUGCAGAUUCUACAUUUGUAACAAGCUCCCACAUAAUGUAGCUGCUGGUGGUCUGUGGACCACACUUUGAGUAGCAAAGAUGUAGAUGUCCCACUUCCAAUUUGCCAACUCGGGUCUCCCAGAUGAUCCUGGUUUGAGAACAGGGUUCAGCGUGGUGGAACAUCAACAGUCCACUAGACUGGCAUUCCUUCACUCGAUAAGCAUUCAUGAAAGUCUAUACCUGCCAAACCCUGUGCUUCUCACUGAAAUGACAAAGCGCCCACGAUCCGGUGGGCAGGAGUCAAGGGGCAACUACAAGCAGGAAUCUAUAAUGAAAUGGAGAAGCGCUCCCCUAGAGACAGGCACAGAGAGUUCUGUGAUGAAGGAGUGACUCACGCGGAAGGUGGGGUUGGCAGGGAAGCUUUCUUAGAUGAAGAGUAGGUGCCCAGAGUUAGACAAUGUGCAUACGAAAUGUGGAGCCAUGAGUGAGCAGAUCUAUUCAGGACACAGCUAGUGUGCCUCCGAGGCUUACAGACAGGCUAAAAUAAGGUGCAGGAAGAAAAGGUCAAGUUAAUCUGGGGCUGGAGCAAGGGGCCUUGAAGGCCACAUUAAAUCACUCUGUAGUUAUUUUCAACCUUGACCGCACAUCAGAGUCACUAGGAUAGCUUUGGCAACUGUACUGUCCGGGCCACGCCCUAGGUCAACUAAAUUCUACUCGCUCUGGGCAGUGAGAAGGUGGGAGCCUGAGCACCUUUUAGAGCAGGUGAUGCAGGGUGCUGAGUUGAGAACUGGACUGGUGAGCAGACACCUGCCCAACCUAUUUGCAUAAGACUUGCUCUUAGGGUGGCCAGUGUCCACCAUUCUUAAAUGCACUUCUCAUUUCCAUUUGAUAUUCAAAAUCAGAAUUAUUAAAAGAUUUUCAUGCCCUAGAGACCCUGCAAAGGGCACUGGGAAGAAGCACCCUCUGCAUGGGGCCUGCCCUUUGUCCCCUGACCAAACAGGUGAAAGAAGACCCUGGGAAGCCCCGCCCUGGGCAGAGGGCACCGCCUUCACUGGCCUGAACCAUGGGAUCCCUAAAGAGAUGAGCCUGCCGAGUGUACAUCUCCUGCUCCUUCCUUGUUUACUAACCUAAUACGUAUUUGGGAUCUGGGGAUAUUUUCUGGGGAUAUAUCUGGGGAUAUAUUGAUGAGAGGAAAGAUGAAUCCAUUGUGAGGGGUGCAGAAGAGUCUUCUGGAGGCGCUCCUGGUAUGAAUCCAAAACGCCUGUCCAUACUCAGCAGCUGAAACGUCCUAGUUAAAAAAAAAAAAAAGCCCUUCUCUCAUUUGACACUCCUAAAGUCCUGGAAUAAUCUUUAAGGUAUCCAAAUGUUCCUAUGGCACAUUUGUAGUUAUCCCUCAAGUUGCUGAAUGUUAGGGGUAUUUUAAAUUUUAAAGCCAAUAGUUAAAAUGAUUCCAUGCAUAAAACAUAAAUCCAGCUAAAAACCAGCAUCCCAAACUUUGUUUGCCCUCUGGUCCAUUUCCCAGGUUUGAGUCAAUAAAAUAUUCAGUGUCUUUAAAGAAUGGAGGAAGCUCUUGCCGAAGGGACAAUGGAGAACGGAGGCUGCUAUAGGAAGAGGCCAAGGAAUGGAGGUGGGGAGGCUCCUGAGAAUGACCUCCAGCUGCCCAGGCUUGGUGUAGCUUGGUGACUAACUUUGAUUGUGCCCAGUUUUACAGUGCUCCCUCCACCCCCCCCACCCCACAACACCUAGGAGGUGAAGUGACUCACUUCAUUUUCAGAAGCAAACUGUCUUUCAGGAAGACUUCUGGGGUCCCCUUUGCUCUUCCAGGGAGAGGCCCCAGAGGAGAGAGGCACUGUACCUCUUCAUAGCACUUAAUGGGCUUUUCCAAGUAAUUCUGCCCAUCCCUUCCCGCAGGGAUGAAGUGGUGUGCCAUCACCUGAGAAGAAAAGAAGACAAAUGCUUCUCUGCAGUUCUGAUUCAAAGAACUGGGUCCUCUGGAAAGGAUGGGCUUUUACUCCUGCUGUGCAGAUGUGUCUGGGAAGUCAGGCCAGAGCUAGUGCCAAAAGGGAGCUGCCCCUCCUUGUGCCUGGGUGUACCAGUGUGUGGGUGGCCUGGGGCAAGCUGACUCGGGGCCUGAGUCCCUGAGCAGGACCCCUGGCCACUUGUAAGAAGAGUAUGUAAUUAAACAAGCUUAACAGCCCCCACCCCAAGCCUUCGUCCCACAGCCCUGGAGGACAGACUGUCCGGCAUCCUCUGCGGCACAGUGGCCUCCCAUUCCUGCGGCUGUGGGCUGCUCCGACCACGCUUGCUCACCCAAGGCCCUGCUUGGAUACAAACAAGCCGGCCUUUGAUGACAGGAAGGGAGUGGAGCCUCCCUCGGGCGUCCGGGUUUUAAUCUCGGUUCUGGGGGACAUUACCUCCCUCUUUGUGAAUUACUGAUUGCUUUCAAAAUACCGGGAAUUAUUCUUUUACCUUACAGGGUUAUUGUGCGCUAUGAUUAAUUUAGCGGAGGCUCUUAGAAAACAGUAAAAGCUGAAUGGCCUUAUUAGUUGUCAGUUUUUAAAAACGGCACUUUAGCAUCCCUGGGCAGCUGGUUUGAUGAGAAGUGCUACUUACUGUGACCCUCCUGCAUGGCCCUUCUUCACUGAAUCUCCCGGGCCUUUUAGUUCCUUUGAUGAAAAUGCACUGCUUCCGAAUGAAUCCAAUAAACAUUAAGCAGGGAUGACAAUUUUAUCUUUGGAAAAAAAAAAAAAGCAAGCCGAGUUUCUAACAAGGAAGAAGAAAUAAUUUCAUGCUAAUUAGCAGGGUGAGACACAGCCUGCCUUUUGGAGAUAGAAAGGACAAAGGUUUGGAUUUAAAGUUGAACUAAAAAGCAUCUGCCUUAAGAAAACUCAAUAUGAAGAAGCCGCUCACAGCAAGGGACCCCACUCCAGCCGUUGGUGUCCCUUCCCCUUCCCCCUUUUGCCUUUUCCCACCCAUUCUUUCAUGCCAAACAGCACAGACAAGAGAACAAGUCUUUGUAAGUCGCACUUGUACAUCUUGGAUGGUGAGAAAGGCCUGGAUUAUGGAUGCAGGGGACAGUCUGGCCAUGGGACGAGCCUCGCCCAGCGCUGUGGAUUCCACAUUCUUUCCCUGGAGGGGAACAGUCACAUUUGCCACAUUGCCUGCAAGCUUGUGCUGCCAGCCAGGUGGUCAGCAAGUGCCCGGAGCACAGGGCUCUCCUGAAACCUGCCCAGUUUCUGCCUGUCUCCAGGGAUACACCAAGAGGUGCCGAGCACAUCUUGUUUGGCAGUUUUAAAAUUGCUCUGUACAUGUGUUUUUAAUUUUUAUUUAAUAAAGGAACAAAUGCUUUCUAACAAAAGACCAACUGGCGAUUAACAUCAGUUCCGUGGAUGGCGGAGGAACUCGAAUAAAACUGAUAUCCAUCUUUACGAGGGAAGCCCACAGCUGCCAGCUCUCCCAGAACUCUGCUGCUCUGAAGCUGGUCUCUCCACUUUCCCGGGGCCUGCCUUGUUUCCGCCUGGUCAUUCUUUCUAUCUUGCUGACACAAUGGCUCAGCUUUUGUCCUCCUGGUUUUGAUUACCAACUGGUCUUUAUUUUCAAUGUAGUAACUGGCCAAUUAAAUAGAAAUUAGCUACAUUUGGAGGCAGGGCUCCUGACUGGUGCCUCUUCCUUUGGCAAGUGCUCAUUCUUCUUUAGGCUUUUCUGAGAGCAGAAAUCCCAAAGGCAAAGUGCAGCACCACGUGCCAAGGCCCCCAGGGCAGCCGCCACGAGACGAGACGCAGGGUUAAAGCCAAUCGGGAUGGAUGCUCUGCUCCCCAGGAGGAGGGGGAGCAGGGCGGUGCUGGCACUGGAACCACUUCCUGUUGUGAUUUGGUUAAACCCCUUCUGAUUCAAGACAGACUCUCCUACCAGAAGGUCAGGCUAUUUCACCCAAGAAGGGAAAAGAUAAAUAAAUAAAUAAAAUCCUCUUCUGCUCUUCUGUGUCAUUCAGGGCAGCUGGAACACAUCUUUGUUUCCACCCAAACAUUGACCACUGUUGGCCGGGUGAAGGAGGGGCUCCUUCCUGGGCUGGGUGGAGCAUACUGGCUACAUGAGUGAGGUCAGGCCUGUAGCCUAGAUCUACCACAGACAGCCUGUGAUAUGAGGCUGUGGGGCAGGACUGGAUCCAGGGGCUCUGGGUGCUGACCCAGGGCCUAGAUUGUUGAGGCUAACUACUUGAAGCCCGUGUCCAGAGGUGCCAGUUCAGUGCCUGGGGCUCUGAGUACCAACAUGGAGCUGGAGUCCACAGAUGCUGACCCGGCAGUGAGGUGGAUGUAAAGCCUGGGGUGGCAGGGACUGCCCUGAUGUUGAGCCUGGAGCUGGGACAGCAGGGGCUGGGACAGGUGCUAGGGUCCACAGCAAUGUCUCCUUCCCCAUGCAGGGAUUGCCUGGACUUAGGGAAAGGGUGGUAUGCGACAGGUGAGCCUGUCUCUGUCCCACACUCAGGUUUCUUCAUCUUUCGCCUGGAUUCUCAGCUCAUGUGAAGGCAUUCUCAUGUGUGGGAGCUCCUCCAGCCAAUGUUUCGGUGAGGGGAUGAGCACGAGGAAUUCCCAUUACACCAUUGUGCUAUGACAGAGUGCUUUAAAUAUCACAAUGAAUACGUUAAAGACCAGAAUGAAAAUGGUAAAUAAAAUCCAGGAUUAGGUAGCCAAUUUCAGAAAAGAAACAGAAACCUUAAGAAAGAAUCCAAUGGAACUGCUUGAAAUAAACAAAACCAAACACAAAAACAGUGAUAAAGAGUUGUGAUGAGGGGCUAGAGCUGUGGCUUAGAGGUAAAGCACUCGCCUAGCACAUAUAAGGCCCUGGGUUCAAUCCUCAGCACCACAUAAAAAUAAAAUAAAGGUAUUGUGUCCACCUACAACUAAAAAAUAAAUAUUAAAAAAAUUGUGAUGAUUUGGAACUUAACUGUCCUUAAACUCACAUGUUAAAGCAUGGUCCCCAGCUGACAGUGCUGCUGGAGGUGGAAAAAUCUUUAGGAGGUGGGCCUAGGGGGCCAGAACUGAGGUCCUUGGGGGUAUGUCUUUGAAGCUGCUAUGGAGACCUUGGUCCUCCUUUCUCUCGGCGACCAUGAGCCGGCUGCCUGGCUCUCCCAUUUGCUUCCUGCCUGAUGUUCUGCUUCACCAUGGAUCAAAACAAUGAGACCAAGCAGCCAUACACUGAAACAUCAAGCCAAAGUAAAAUUUUCCCCCUUUAAGCCGAUUUUCUCAGGUAUUUUGUCACAGCAGUGGAAAGCCAACAAAAGAACGACUUGGGCAAUUUUGUUAGUAGACUCACAUGGCCAUGGCAAAAAUCAGUGAUUCUGAGGAUAAUCAAUAGAAUUUAACAAAAUUGAAACAUGCAGAAAAGAAUGGGAGAAAAAAAUAGAGGCAAACCUUCCAGAGCUGCAGAACAAUAUUAAACUUUCUAACAUAGGCGUAAUUUGAGUCUUAGAAGUAGAUGAUUGAAACAUAGUUGGUGACUAUGUUUUCCUCUCAUGACCUUUUGGGGACACAUUGAAACCAUAGUACACAGCCAUGCUCAUCAUAAUACUUACACUGCUGAAAGCCACCAACAGGGAGGGUAGAUUGGAUGCAGCCCGGCUGGGCGGGGGGUGGGGGGGUGGGGAAGAAUGUUAAAUCCUGAGAGCAAAACAGGCUUAUUGUCAGAAAUAAUGCAAACUGAAAGACAGUGUAGAGACAUCUUUAAAGUCCUGAAAGAAAAGAAGAACUAGCAACUGAUAUUUCUAUAUCCAGCCAAAAUAUAUUUUAAAGAAGAAGAAAGAAAGGACCUUCUCAGACUACAAGAACUGAGAGAAGUUAUUGCCAUGGGGCCUACUCAAUAAGAAAUGUCAGAGAAAGUUCUUCAAGCACCAAGAUUAUGACAUCAGGCUCAAAUCUGAAUCCACACAAAGAAAAAAGGACUCUGGAAAUGGAAUAACUGAAUAAAGUUAAAAUAAAAUUCAUCUUUCUUAUUUUUAAUUGUUCUAAAAGAAAACAGACUGUCAAAAAAAACAGUCUUAGUGGCAAUGUAUUCUGUUUUUGUUUGGUAAAAUGAAAGGUGAGAGAAGACAGCCUGAGGGGCUGGGCUCUGAAUGUGUCCCUCAAACGCACAGGAUGAAACUGAUUCAUUUGUGGGACAAUAGGAAGAGGUCGGGAUUUGGGGUGACGUGCCCUCAUGUGUUAAGUGGGGACUUAAGAACCUCAUAAAUGUUGUGGGAAGCCACCUCCUUCCCUCUGCCCUUUCCCCUCUGACUUUGUCUUGUUGAGUCGCAGGGGUCUGGCGCCCACUUGAAAGCAGAGAGAAGUUUUCACCACAUCCCAAACCUGCUGGCCCCUUGAUCUCGAACUUCUCAGCUUUCAGAAUUGUAAGAAAUAAAUUGAUUAUUUAUGGUACCCAACUUGAAGUAUUCUGUUUAUUGCAGCAGCUCAAACGAAUGAAAACAUGAUGGAAUGGAAAAGUUAAGAAUUUAACUGGGGUUGUCAUUGUAGCUCAGGAGUGGAGCGUUUGCCUAGCAUGGGUGAGGCACUGGGUUUGACCCCUGGCACCACAUAAAAAUAAAAACAAAUAAAAUAUAGGUAUUGUGUCCAUCGACAACUAAAAAAAUAAUAAAAAAGAAUUUACUACUGCUAGGCCCUUAUACAACAUGGGAAGCAAUAUAAUAUUUGAAGGUAGACUCAGAUUAAUCAAAGAUAUAUAUAUAUAUAUUUACCAUAGAGAAUUCUAGAGAAAGUACCAACAAGUAUUUUAAAAGAGAAGUGAAUACUUCAUAAGAGAUAAAGGAGAAUUAUAAGAAAAACUCAGACAAUGCAAGAAAAGACAGAAAAAGAAGCAAAAGGCAGAUGGAAUAAGUCAACUCUCCUUAAUUAGGACAGAUUAGUUAAAAGUAAAGGGACAGAGCUGGUUGUGGUGGCUACCACCUUCAAUCUCAGCCACUUGGGAGGUUGAGGCAGGAGGAUUGCAAGUUGAAGGCCAGGUCAAUUUAGCAAGACCCUGUCUCAAAAAAUAAAGAGCUGGAAAGAUAGCGCAGAGGUAGAGUGCUUGUGGGUUCAAUCCUUAGUACAAACACACACAAAAUCAAAAAGGGGUAGAGAAAACUAUGCUAAGCAAAAGUUAAUAUAAAGAAAACCAGAGCCAGGUGCGGUGGCACACGCCUUUCAUCCCAGUGACUCAGAAGGCUGAGGCAGGAGGAUUGUGAGUUCAAAGCCAGCCUUAGCAAAAGCAAGGCACUAAGCAACUCAGUGAGACCCUGUCUCUAAAUAAAAUACAAAAUAGGGCUGGGGUUGUGGCUCAGUGGUCAAGUGCCCCUUAGUUCAAUCUCUGGUACUGUCCACCAAAAACAAAAAAGAAAAAGAAAAGAAAGAAAAAAGAAAGCCAGAAUAGUUAUGCUAAUACCAAAGUGUACUUCAGAACAAGGAAUCUUAUGAGGGGAUAAAGAGAUUUCAUAAUGAUAUUGGGCUUCAACAGACAUAAGGCAAGAAGAAAAGGAACAGAAAGAGAAAAUAGACGAUUUUUAAAUUUUUUUUUCAGUUGUUGAUGGACCUUUAUUUUAUUCAUUUAUUUUUCUGUGGUGCUGAGAAUCGAACCCAGUGUCUCAUAUAUGUGAGGCAAGUACUCUACAACUGAGCCACAACCUCAGCCCCAAAAUGGAUGAUUUUUAUUGGAAUCUUCAACAUGCCUCUUUUGUUAAUUGAUAGAAGCAGCAGAGAGAUGAAUACUUGAAUAUAGAGGACUGAAAAAAUGCUAUCGACAACUAGGUAAAUUGAUACAUAUAUACAUAAAUAUAAAACUCCACCCAACAGCAAAAUACACUUUUUUCAAGUACACAUGGGACAUUCAUCAAAAUACAUCAUACUAAGGGUCAUAAAAUGAACAUCAACAAAUUUAAAAGAACCAAAACCAUACAAACUAUCUCUGACCAUAAUUUAAUGAAAUUAGAAAUCAAUAACAGGAAGAUACCUAAAAAAAACCCUUCAAUAUUUGGAAAUUAAACCUGUACCUUCUAAUAAGCCAGUGGUCACAGAGAAAAUCUUGAGGGAAAUAAGAAUUUUUUAUUGAAAGAAAAUAAAACUGCAACAUAUUAAAACAUGUGUGAUCCAGCUGAGCAUUCUGUCCUCAUGAGUAGACCAACACCAUUACUGCAAGACUGGGUUUGUUGUCUCAGGAGUGGGUUUCUGGGCAUGCACCCCCACUUUCUUCUCAUGUGAUGCCUUCCACCAUGCUGUGAGAAAGCAAGAAGGCCCUCACCACACUCAGCCCCUGGACCUUGGACUUCCUGGCCUCCAGAACUGCAAGCCAAAUAAAUUUCUGUUAAUUACCAAUUACCCAGUCUUAUAUUACAGCAACAUAAAAGGGAAAGACACAGAUACAUCUAUAGACAUGUACAUGUAUGCAUUACUAUAUGUACUGACAUACACACAUACCUACCACGUGCAUCCUAUAUUCUUUUGUAUCUAUCUCUCCUAGCCCUGUCCACUCAGAAAGGCUAGAAACAAGGACAUUUCAGUAAAGAGGAGAGUGCCUAAUUCCCAGUAAUGUUGGUUUUUCAAUAUCACUGUCCAAUAAAAAGAACCAGGAAUCCUUGGAGAACUGUCUGAUUCAGGGCUGGGGCAAUGGAAAUAAAGAUGAGUCUGGAAAGCUUGUGGUGUUGCAAUGUAAUAUAAUUCUUAAAGAAAAAAAUUUUAAAUAUAUUUAUAUUAUUAUUUAUUAAUAUAUUAAAAUGCUCCUCUCUCCUUCAGCACACAAAAAAAUACCUAUUAAGCUAACAGUCAUAGCUGUUUUAGUCCACUUAAUGCCGCUGGGAUAGAAUUCCAUAAUACAUAAAUAAAGCACAUGAACGAAUCCAAAAGCUCCUAGUAAUCAAAGCUGAAACAAUCUGAACAACAAAGUAUGUAACAAAAUCACAUUGUUAGAUUAUAACCCAAAUAAUAAAGUAAAUAUCCAUGAUUAAAUAAAUAAGAGAGGGAGAAUGAGCUCUUCUCUAGAGAAGAGUCUUGGUUAAUCAAUGCAGAAGCUCUGAGGGAAACCCCAGCAUUCAGUACCAGCUAUUACCGCACUAGCAAGAGCCCACCAUGCCACAAAGAGCGGGUGAAUCUCUAAGUAGAAAUGAGAUUUUUGCUUGGUCUCCAUGCAUCUCUGUGCUAUUUGUACAGUCCUUUAUUAAACCCCAAGGUAUUUCAAAAUAAAAAGUAAAAAUAAUAAUAAAAAGCAAAACAAUGACACACAAAGAUGUUUUCAAUCUAUUAAACUUUAAAGAGUAGUAGGAUUCUGAUUUUUGUGCACCUGCGCAUGCGUACACACAUGGAAUUUUUUAAAAAUCAGUUUGUUUAAAAAGAAUUUCAACUAAAGCAUAAAAUAUAGUUCUCUUUUAGGGUGGGAAUAGUGGUGAUUACAAUUUUAUGUCAUUUUUAUUUUGAUAUUUUAUUAUUAGAGUUAUCAUUUAUCAGUACUUUCUAAAAUUGUCAACCAUGACCAUGGAUUAAUUGAAUGACACUGUAUCUCAGGUGCUCUUGAAGGACGUCUUGCGUGUCUUCUGAACUUGGCGUUGUGUUGGAGCCUGCACCGCGGGGGCCGUCAAAGUGAACUGUUGACUUGAAGCCCUGCCUUUCCAUUGCCUUUUGCAACAUAGUCCCGCUAAUUUAAAUUCCCAUAGGGCACCUUUCUUAGUGCUUGGCACAAAGUGCUCAGUGAUAAUUCAGUUACAAAUAUCAGUUCUGCUGUAUUUAAAUUAUCCUUCAGUGAAGUUCACCUGAGAACAUAAAUCAUAGAUGUAUUAUCCAAUAAGUAAAAAGUACAGAAAACAUUUAAAGUUAAGCAGUAUUUUAGAAACUUUAUAAAAUUUAAUUUAUUCAAUACUCAUCACAACUCAAGGGGUGGGAGUACUACUUUUAACCCCGCUUUACAGAUGAAAAAUCCAAGGCCAGGGGUUAAGUAGCUGGCUCAAGGCCACACCGCUCUAGCAGGGAGCACACAGUGAGGUGAAGCACGUCUGUACCCAUCACCAUUUCACCCUCGUGGUACCACCUUGAGUCAGGUACCAUUAGCUCCAAGCGUCAGGUGCAGAAACCCAAGCUCAGAAAGGUAUGGCCUAGCUAAAAGUGGCAGGGCAGGGACGCUGGAUCCCAAAGUUCAUGCACGCUCUUUCAGCUGGAGCAUGCCUUUCAAGCAUUAACAUGGAGUGGGCAAAGCCAAGCAGGAAAUGACCAGAGGAGCGCUGCACUUGGGAUUAAUUCUUUCUCGUCUGCUAAAAUUUCACACCAUCCACCUGCAUGUUUUUUUCCUUCCCUACCAGCUGAGAAUGGUGACAUUUUCUGUUCUCCAGUUUAAACCAGAGAAGCUUGCAAGUACUAUAAUCACCAAGGAAGCUACAUAUUAGCUUACAGAACACCCUCCCCCAUUAAAUUAAAGAGGCAAUAAAAAUGACCAUGCUUCUAUUUCUGGGUCUGUGAGAGAGUGAUUGUGGGCAUUCUCAGGCGAAAAAAAGAGAAAGUGACUUGGUUUUCAGAGAUGAAAUGCUCUGUUGACGAGUUGGCAGGGCUGCCUGGUUUGGGAAAGAAUGUGCAGAAAACCUGAGAGGUGAUUAGUGUGUGGCCCAAACAGCAAGCAUUGGGCUCAGUGUGCCUGGCAGAGGCGGAUGUGGCCGCACAGUUCAUUAACGCUGUAUAGUUGGUUUAAUUCCAGUUGGGGCAAUUAGAGAAAGCUCUAGAACCUGCAUAGAGCUCCAAAAUAGGCUCUGAUCUCAGCAGCGGUGGAUCUAAGCCACCACUUCGGGCCCCAGCAGAUUAGAAGACUAGAAUUCCUUCUCUGACAGUCAUCUCUGUUGAAUUAGUUCAUUUAAGAAAAUUAAAGAUAGCUUCCACUGGAGGAAAAAAAGUAGCUAGGUAAGAUUGUGUGUUGUGUGUGCUUUGUGGCACUUUCUUUGUGGCUCUCCUGAACUGAGCUCUCUCCUAACCCUCCUUUCUUUCUUGCUGCUCUUCCUUAGACCCUGGGAAUCCCAUCUAUGUCCAGAGAUCCUCCAUCUCCACAUUCACAACUCUUGAAAUCCAGUGCUUCUGAAUAGAUCUCUUUGGAAUGGAUCCUAGGUCCAACGGAGCUGGGAUGUAACAUCACCCGUAGCUGACAGGUGCCGCUCUAAAAUACGAGGGGCCCCACUGACAUAAUCACAUGUGAUUCUCUCAAGCAAAUGGCUUACAUUUCAUAAGUUCAUCGACCUUGAAAAUCUAUCGGACGGUUGUGUUUGCAACCCCACACUUUUUCUGUGUGCUCUGAUCCUAGCAACUGUUGGUGAGGAAAGCAGCCCAGCCACUUUGAGCAAAUAAGGAAAGCCGUGCUCUCUAAAUCUCUCCCCAGGUCUUCCUCUUUGUGGUCAGUUGGCCAACAUAUAUUGUAUGGCCUUGAAUCUUUUUAAAAAAAUUAAGACUGUAAUUUUCUUCUAGGUCAGAGAGGCAGAGAACUAUCUGGCAAAUGCCUGUAGCCCAUGUCUUUUGCAGAAGAGAAAGAACAUGUGUGGCCCUUGCUUCCAGGCAUGGGGCAGCCUGGUGUUGCUGAUUUGACCAGAGCUACCGUGUGCCCUGGACAGGACUCCAGCCUCCCAGCACUGGGUACUGACAUCAUGUCCUCUUUACCUGCAUUUUCCUGGCUGUAAGGAGCAAGCUGAUUUCCACCCUGCCCAUCACCCCUCCACCCUCCCACAUCCAUUGAUCCAUGGAGUAAGGCAGAAUACUGUGAGAGCUCUCUCUCCUACCCACUCAGAGGUAGUGAGCACCAACAUCCCCCGCGGGAAGCUCAGUGCUGGUAGAAAGCCCAGCAGGGCUUCCAAUCCCCCAAGCAGCUCAGUGAGAAGAGACCUUGCCCAGAGCCUGCCCAUUCAGCAAUGGUGCGGCCUUCCUGGCUCCCUUCCCUCAGCUCUGGAGCUCAUCACGCCGCCGUGAGCCGCAGGGACUUUGUAGCCGUGUUACUGUAUUAGCACCACAUGGAGACUCCACGGAACUCACAUGCAGAAUGUGUGAUGUCAGACCCGUUUACACAAGUCCAAAUUCUGUGCAGCUGUUCUAUUCAGAUGUUUUGCUUCAUAUCUUUAUGUCAGCAAUCUCCCAAUAAAUCCACUGAUUGUGAGACAGAGGAGCAGAGAGAGUGCUCCGUGCUUACAUGUGUUUCAGAGCCGGGAACCCACAUCACUUCUGUGCAGAUCUGCCUCACUCCCUGGGGGGCACUUCAGAGCGGUGGCUCCUGCGCUCCCAGGACAAGCCCGGUUGGGGCCAUCGAUAGAAAAGCAAAUGCAAAAGGACAGCGGCCCUCACACAAAUGAGAAGCCAUUACCUGGGCUCAGAUGGGUGCUGUCUGAAAUAGAUUCCUGCUAGGGAAAAUUUCAGGAUAGACAUUGCAGUUUCUUUAGAAAGCAUUUGAUAAAAACCAUCCAUCAAAACUAAUUGGCUUCUGAGAAGGGAAAGUGUUGGCUAACGAGUGUCCCUGACUGUACCGCUCAGAGAAUCACCAAGCCUGUCUCAUCGAGAUGAAUCACUGUCUCUCACCAGUAAAAGAAAACCUUCAAAGGUUGCUAUCCAAAUAAUGCUGUAUUCAAAAAUAAAUAGCUCUCAACAUUUCCUUGGUAUUCAGGAACGAAGGCCACACAUUUUUUUUAAAUGCCUGGAUUUUUACAGUUAUAUAUACUGUUUAUGAGUCUCCAUACUAUGACUAGACGUGUUAUUUAAAAAUAAAGGCGGAGAGCUGUAGAUUUUCUGUGACUCACUUUGGGUAGGCUGUGUUUCUUCAUGGUUUGUUAAAGAGACAGGGCUUUAGGGACAAAAAAAAAAAGGAGGGCAAGAAUUCUCUGCUUGUCUGGUCAGCUACAGGCUGUUUCUGGGCCUAAACUAAAAUUUGAUUUCAGGUUUACUUUCUCCCUUUUCCCAUCACGACCCUCCAUGUCAGGCCCUUUUGCAGGCUCCUUGUGAGAUGCAGAGCAGAGCUUUGCAAGCACAGGCCCAGUCUGAAAGUGGCUCAUGCCCAGGAUGACUGCAGGAGGGAAGGUCCUGUUGACUAUCUCCCCACCCCUGUCAUAUUUGUUGUAUGGGUUUUGGAAAAUCAGAGAACACAAAAAAACUCCAGCUUUUCUUCUGUAGAAGAGGGGAAACAGUGAGCUGCAGCAUGCUGAGAACAUUCUGGGGCCUGCUUCGCAUUCCAGAUGCAUGGCAUGCUUAGCUACUUGGGACUGAAAACCCCCAGCCGGGGCACACAGAAGAGAUUCUGUGAGCUCCUGGGCUCUCUUUAGACUCUGGCCCUUGCUGCUCAGCCAUCACAACAGCGACGGGAGACAGCAACUCCUCUGGGUAUUUGGGGGAAGAUCUUCCAGGCAGAAUCUUCCUAAAUGUGGUCAGAGAAUAGAUUCCAAGGCCACAACAAGGCAGGAGUGUGCUUGGAAUAAUCUGUCUCCAUUCCAUCUGGAAAACGUCCCUUUGGAUCUGGGGAGGGACGCUGAUGGUCUUACAGCCUUUCAGAGUACAGUGUGGACUCAAUGUCGUAACUCGGGUCAGGUAAGUCAUGUGGCAGCAUGUGGCUGACAAGCCACUGUGGAGAUCCUCAUGUAGGAGAGCAUGGAGGCCCAGCGGCAAUCCUAGUGAUCAUACAAGCACCUCAGGGUGUGAAAGCUAAAUCUCACGGAAGGCUCAGCUCUUGGUGAAUGAGAACCUUCUGAAUGAUUUUGUACUCAUUUUUUUUUUUCAUGACUCAUACCACUUAAGACUAAGCUGCCAUGAUUCCAUUAACAGCCUUUGUUUCCCUGGGAUAAAUAUAUAUCCAUUCAGAGAGGAUAUGUAGGAAUUUACGGCACAAAACAAACCUUAUAGUAAAAAAUACUCUGUACCAUAUGUCUGCUUUCCGGAGGUGGUUUUAUUCUUAUUUUAUUCCUGUUUUCUGUAUCUCUUACUCUCAUCCCCGCAUGUCCUGAAAAGAUUACUCAUCUCUGAGUGAAAUAAUCCAUUAGCUCUCCCACUGCAGAACAUCCUUUAGCUUCCUCCUACCAAAGGAUUGAGAGACUUAAGGACGACAUAUUCAAGCACAUACAUUUAUAGAUAGAUUGACCAAAGUCCUUUUAAGCCACCAUUGACUAUGCUAGAAAUGUAGCCUAUAUGUCUAAGGAUCUCACUUACCAGGGCAACACUGACAACACUGAACAAUAUUCGAUCAUAUCUUUCCGUUCUUUUCUCCUUUCGGCAUUCCAUUUAUACAUGUAACCCCUUUUGAUACUGUCUUCGGUUCUAGAAUGUUCUGGAUUUUUCCAUUUUUUUUUUCUUUUUGUGUUUCAGUUUGGAACUGUCUUCAGACUCAUGGACUCCUCCCGAGGCCAUGACCAGGAGAAGAACCGAUGGAAGGCAUUCUGGGUUCCCAUUCGUCUCUCAUUUCUAGGGUUGCCUUCUGAUCCUAAUGAUUUCCAGCUCUCUGCUAAUAGCCCUCCCUGGUGCUGCAGGCUGUCUGCUUUUCCUUCAGAGCCAUUAACUCACCAGCUGUCUCAGAUUCCUCGGCUGAACAUGCCAACGUCUGUGCCACACCUCGAUCUGGUUUUGAUGAUCCCUUUGUCCCUCAGCCUACUUUCUCUUGUCUUUUAGUAUGCCUUGUACUUUUUGUUGAAAGCUGACAGGAUGUACUCGUGACAGGCACUGAGGGAAAGGCCAUGCUGUGGGGAUGUACAUUAAUCUGACUUGGAGUUGGGCUUCACUGACUCUUUGUUGUAUUAAGUUCCACAGGAUUCAAAUUCUUCCAGUGACCUUGGUUUUGUCUCCUGUCUUGGCUUUGGCCUCCCUUUGUAUUGUCACUUGGGGAGUGUGGUCUUGCAGUUCUUUUAGCCGUAAGCCACUGAAGGUUUGUUAAUGUGGUGGUCAAAUACAGGGCAGGGGAUGUGUUCUAAAACCUGAUUGUCAGGUUUUCAUGGGCCUGUGUCUUGUAUGUGGCCACCACAGGUGUCUCUGCCUUUCCUCCCUGAGCACCACCCCAAACCCCACCCUCAGCACCUCACUCCUAUCCCCAGGCUUGGCUGACUAUUUUGUGUUUUUUGUUUUAGGUGAGCCAGGAAGGGUGGAGUUGAGUGGGACUCCCUUUCCCUAGAUAGGAUGAAGGUGAAAUCUCUACUCCUGCAGAGUCGUGUUGCUCUGUUUUGUUAUGGAGAGGAAUCUGGUAGAAUCUGUAGCUACUCUUUCCAACUCCCUACCAGGCCUCAAAGAGAUCCUCACCCAGUCAAGUUGCAGGCAUUCUUGGAGGUCAAGACCUCAAAAUUAGGGGAGAACCCCUUAUGAUUGGGGCCCCAGAUGUCUCUCACUGUCCCCACUCGGCCUCCAGAAACCCAUCACAAUGGCCAGUGCAGUAAGUGGCCCCACGGUCACUCACUGGCUUCUGGGUCUCUUGCUCCAUGCACCUGUCUCCAGAUCUCAGGGUGGGGUUUGUUCAGAAACUUCAGUUCUGCAGCAGAUCUAAGGGAGGCCAUUGGUUUUUAGUUUGUUUAGCUCUUUAUUAUUGUAAGGAUGGGAAUGGUGACUUCUAGUCUUUCUACAUAUGUCAAAAGACAAAAUCACAACAAAAUUUGUUAUGAAUCUAAUCAACUUUAAUUUGCAAUUUGUGAAUUGGGGUGGUGUCAUUUUACAAAACAGACCCAGAGCUCCCACUGGGCAAUGACAGAAUACUGGGUUUUAUAAAAUGUGGACAAGGAAAUAUAAUAAUAUGGGGAAAGCAGCUAAUGUGUUAAUCUCAGGUUACUCUUUCUGUAAUGGUCAAACCAAAGGAGAAGUAUUCCUUGUGAUUCUGAAUCAGGUGUACUAGAAUCUCCUGUUUUCAGGAAAAAACUGGUCUCUUUGGGAAUCUAGCUGCUUUAUUGAUAUUUCAGUGUGAUUAAGUAGCACUUAGCAUAAGCAACUCCAUUCUGAUCUGAUCUGAUCUGUAGGGGCCGCCUGCUGGAGCUCAGUUCAAAACAAAGGCCUCCAAUAAUUUUUUUUGUGUAAUACAUGUCAGAGUAGAAACUGGAAGUCCACAAACGAAAAUGAAACCCCAUUUUUUUUUGCCCGUCAGAUUGACAAACAUGAAGAAUGAUAACAGUAUUAGAGAGUGAGAGAGGAAAAGAGCAUUCUCAGAAGGUGCUGGCAGGAGCCUACAUUCAAUGUCACCUUUCUUGAAGGCAAUUUCACAUGAUCAAAGUUUAAAAUGCACAAUCCCUUUGGCCUACAAAUUCCACCCCCAGUAUUCUACCCUAGAGAAGCUCGCAUGUGUAAAAGGGUAUUUACUAAAUAAUUAUAGCAGCAAUAAGUUGGAAACAACCUAAAAUUCUAUCGAUAGAAGGAUGAUUAAAGAAACAGAUAAACUAUAAUUUGUUUAUGCCGUGGCAAUUGUGCAGCCCAUUAGUAGACGCAUUAAUACACCCAAACAGUAACAUAUUGCUGGGUGAAAAAUCAACGUACAGAGCAGUGUGUAGCUCUGGUAUUGUCUUUGCAAAAACAAAACAAGCCAAACACCAUGUGUGCACUGGGGAAUGGGGGGUGGACAUUCAGAGGCACAUACUUGUAUCUGCCUGGGGAAAAGUCUGGAAGUACAGACACUAAGUUCCAGCAGUUAAUGGCUUCUCCUCUAGUAAGGAGGAAAAGCUUCCCAUUUCAGGGGAGAUUAAGACAUUUUAAAAUAAGCAUACAUUGUUUUUGUAACUCAAAACAUGCAUACACAAAGCAAGCAGCUCUUAUUCCACAAUGAAAGAGAAAGCCGUCUGGGAAAAGAUGGCAAUAACCUUUAGUUCAUAUUUCUAGGCAAUUCCAGGAAUCUUAAGCUGUGUUUCCUCUGAAUUAAAGACCUCUUGGGAAUGCAGGACAGAAAGAAAGCCAUUUUUUCUGCUAGUGGAAGAAGUUAGUGAGCCUUGGUAUGUGCAGGAGUGAGGGCAGGGACUAGGUCCCUCUCGCUUGUGGUCAUUCCAGGGUCCGCACCAUGUUGGGUGCUUAUCAGGGUCUCCAGACUUGAAUCAAUAAAAGAUAUGAAAAAAAUGACAAUGGCUCUGUGACAAAUUACUACACCAUGUACCACAGGGAAACCUGGCAAGCUGUUGACAGGGAAUGUCCCUGUUCUUCAAGUGUUCUAGAAUUUAAGUUCUGAGAUUAUUAGCACAGCGGCAAUGGGGAGGAAGUUAACUAGACCCAGAAAGAAUGCUGCUCUCUAACAGAAUUCUUUCUCAUGCUGAAAUAGCAGUCGAAGUUGUCUGGGAAAUCUGCGGUCUGCCAGCUCACAAAAAAGUAUCAACAGACUCGGGAAAUCACCAAAAACAUUUUAGUUUUAAUUUUUUGCAUUAAAAAAAAAAACAAUGCAGAAAAUGGGGCCAGAAUCAGGAUGCCUUGGAGGGUUUUCAUGGAACGUAGCUGAUGACUGUAAGCUAUUGAGGUAAUAGGAGAGAAAGGAGGCCAAAGUCUGCCCAGCAGCUCCUAGCUGCUCACGGGGCAGGCUCAGUCUCCCAGCACAGGCACCUUGUUAGAUCUCACACACUGUGGAACCUUGUCAUCACUUCAGACAAUGAAACUGGGGCUUAAGACCUUGGAGAACCCAUCCUGGGAUCCACAGCCAGAAAGAGGCAGAGCAAAGAUAAAGAGGGAUUCCAACACAGACAGGCCUGGCUCUGAAGCCCAGGCCCACUCUCAGGCUCCUGGACCUGAGAAGAGCUCUGGCUCACCUCACUUAUCAUAUGGGCAUGACAGCCACCCCUAAAGACUCCAAAGGCCUUGGUACUCAGAGCUGACUGGAUUAGACCAACCUGUCUGUAGAAUUAGCCCUGAACCUUCACACCCACAGAGAAGAUUCCCACCCAUCCUCAGCUUCCGUGUGGGCCACGGGGAAGUGACCCAGUAUUCCUGAGCAGGACUCUGGAAAUCGUAUUUCCUCAUGAUUGAUGCACCUACCCUGGCCACUUCAGGAUCCAGAUGUCCCCUCACUGAGGUGAAGCACAGUUCCUGAAGAACUGCUUACACUGUCAUCAGCCCCAGAGUCAGUCACUUGUCACAAAUACCCUCAUGGAAUCAAGUUCUUGGUUUACUUUUCCAUGAUAUCUGCUGAGUCCGAUGAAAUGGAGUUUUGCCUUUAUUUUCACCACAGCAGAAAGUCAGGGUGCCCAGUUCUGCAGCUUCCAGCGUGUUUCUGCCACAUUCCAGCCCUUCUUGAAUAUAUUCUAUGCCUGGGGUUCAGAUCCCCAUGAGCACCUUAGAUGCUGCGUCUGUUUCCUGACAUAUUCUCCUGGGCCACCGCCUGGCCCACAUCAGGGCUGCCUUUCUCUCUCCUCCCACAGCUUUAAUAAUUUCUAUACACCAAUCACACUCACUUCUCCAGCCUUGAACCUCCAGUCUGAGUCUGAGAAGCUUUAGAUAUAACAGAAAUGCAAAGAAUUCUUGACCCCACGUCAUCUCUAAGCCACUCCUCUCUUCUGCCUUGAAUCCAAUUGCACGUAUCAGUAAACAGCACUACUGUCCACUUUAUUGCUCAAACCUAGAUGUUUUCCUCACCCCCAUAUAGAAUUCUUCAGCAAGUUUGGCGGUUCUGCCGCCAAAAUGUUGCAAAUUCAUCCACUUGACCACAUAUCAUUGCCAACAUUGAGCCACCGAUCUCUGGCCUCAACUCCUCCAGGCUCAUCUUCUUGCUUCCAUUUGUCUCCUUGAAAAUCAUCAGAAUAAAAAAUUUGGGGCAUGAGUCCUACUGACCUCUUGGCUGAAGCCAUUUGUGUUUCCAGCUGUACUUUACCGUGUCUGCAGCACUUGGUGGUCCAGCUCUGCCCAUCUCCUCAGCACACCUCUUGGUCUCCUCUAGCCGGCUGCCCUGAUGUCACACUAGCCUUCUCCCCUUGAGAGCUCCCUUGCUGCUCCUCAGAUUCUGUCCCAGAAUUUCCUGGCUGGGAACUUUCUCUUUAUUCAGGUCUAAACUGUGACCUCCUAGAUGGUCCUUCCAGGACCACCCUGAAGAGUUACCCCUUACCCUGCCAAUGAGUUUCCAUUGUAGCUUCCUGUUUGGGUUUCUUCCAAGCACUUAAAAUUAUUUAGUUCAAUUAUUUAUUCACCUGUUUAUUGGCCAUUUCCCCCAUAGUAGAAAGAGAUCUCCAUCUCUCCCAUACAAGACUCAAUCUCUAGAGAUAAGACUCCUCAUUUUGCUAAAAUAGUAGUAGAAGUUACCCAGGCAAUUUUCUCUCUGCCAGCCCACAGAAUAUGAGAUCACUGAUUGAGGAAAUGAUCCCAAAGUAUAAAAUUUUAGUUUUAAUUUUGGGAUUAAAAAUUAAUGUGGCAAGAGAGGCCAGAAUUAGGGUGACUUGGUGGGUUUAGUGGAAUAUCACCUGUGACUACAAGCUACUGAGAUUCCAAUUCAGAAUUAGGACUGUGAGUCAGAAUCAGAGGAGCACACAGUAGGGUCCAUUAAGUUUGUGGACUGUGACUGAACAACUGGUCGAAUGUGUUUACAGAGAAGCAAAUGCCGCCCUUAGCUGAGGCCAUAGUUAUGAUUAAAGAACACUGCACUCAUUUUAAGCAGCACUCUAAUUAAAUGACAAACUCUGGCUUGUAUUAAAAAUAUACACUGCAUUGUGUCAUGACUUACUGGAUCAAGCACUCCAAAGCAUUCAUAUCAGUUGGACAUUGUGAAACAUUCUCCACUUGAAUUCACCCAGAGAAUAGACCAGGGGAAUCUGCUUUCCUAAUGGCGACCAGCUGCCCUUGCUGAGCAUUUCUGUCUGAUUUUCAUCACUUCAAUGUCUAACACCACCUCUAAAGUGCUGAGAUGGCCAAAUAUGGGCUGCCCUGAUGGGUGACCUCUACCUCCCCUUCCAAACAAUCCCUCCCAGUUACCCUGGACCCUGGCAGUGCUGGCCCCCAGCCAAGGAGCCAGGGAAAGAGGGCUGAUCACCUUGAAUGGCACCUUUCCUCCCAUGCUGACCAUUCUGGUCACUUCUGCAGAGAGUGGCAGCACUGACUGUGUGCCUUAUUUCCCCUUCUGGACAGUAAUAUAUCACUUGUUCUCACAAAACCUUGUUGGAAAGUAAAGAUGAAGGUUGCCCAGAACACAACAGAAGCUUGGGGCUUCCCUUUGCCUCCUAAGGAGUGCUUCUACUUAGACGCAUCUUAUAUACAGCUGUCUGUUCUUGGAGAGAGGAAGUUGGAGGAGCUGGUUGGCUGAAAGUAAAAGAAAUGUGGAGCUGGGUGGAGGCCUGUUUUCUGAUAAGCUGUGGGUAACCUGAAAGUGCGAGGGAGGCUGUGGUCUUUUAUUAUCUGCAAACUGAGCCCAAGGCACACAGUGUGGCCCACAGCCACUUCUCCAAGUUGAAGUGGAUAUUCUUUAACUCUAGGUUAAUCAACAACAGCAACAAUACAAAAUUAGAAGCAGUCUUGAUAAGUUGCAAGGAGAGCUCAUUCAUUUCCAUUAACUGGUGAGGCCCUGUGGAUCUGCUAGAUUAGAGGAAACUGUAUUUUGCAGAUUGUGAGAGAUUUAUUUUGGGACUGGGUGUCAACAAAGAGUGCAAAAUGAGUUCAAGUCAGAUUCCACAUAGAUUUGGAGGAAGGAGAGCAUACCAAUCAUAAUGAAUGAGGGAGAGAAAGAACUUAGGGAGGACUCACAAGCAGCUACAUUCUUUGGGUUAUUAUCAUUAUUUUUGAGUCUGUAAAGGGUAAUGCAAGAUGACGGGUACCUAGGAGGGAGUCAGGCCAUGCUGUUUGUCCUUGAGACCCAGGAAAGCCAGAAGCUAAUUUGAGUUUAGUUGAGGUUUCUGCAUAUCAGGACUACAACACGUAAGGCCAUAGAAAUUCAGUAAGAGAGGGCUGUGGGGGUUUUCUGCUCAAUUAUGGAAGAGGACACAGGUUUAGCGAGGUUUCUUUCUCAAAGCUCAAUGUCCACAUCACUCAAUCUCCUCUUAAUGUCUUCUCUAUUCCCCUCCCUCCUUCGACUUGGAAAUUCCAAGCCUAUUUGAAAUUACAGUGAGCAGAAACAUUGCAGGAAAGAAUAACGGGCAUAUCCAGUGUGGUUGGGAAGUAUCGCCAAUCACCUAAUGAAAGCCAAUUAGGAAAACCAAGUUCAAUCGAGGGACUUCCACUUAAGCAAAUUUUCACUGUGUUUCUGUUUUCUGCAUCAAGAUAUUCCUUUGUUUUCAGAGGUUUCUAAGUGAAGAGUGAAAAGAGCUUUGGUCUGAUUUGAUGAUGAUGGUUUAAGUUAAUUUUAGUUUCUAUUCCUCAAGCUCCAGUCACCUGCCCCAAGAUCAUGGAGCAUUCUGUCCCUUGACAGAGGCUAGAGAUGACAUUUAACCUGCAUAGAAGAUUGCACAAAGAUCAAAAAGCAGCCGUACUGCAGUGCUCAUUUAAUAAUUAUGCCCUUACUCUCUGCCAUAUUCUGGGGCUCUCCUGGGUGGUGGAAAUGAAGGAGUACUUCCAGCAGCCCACGGUGCAGCAGAGGAGUCAGUAGAUGAAUAGGCAUCCAGGAAGGGAGCACAGUGGAGACAGAGGCCAGAGUGUGAGUAGGAACAGUGAACCCGCAGGAUGAGAGGUGAGGGAGAGGGGCCGCAGAGGCAGGCAGGGGCCAGAGGGAGCGGCCUGGCCUACAUUGUGGAUGAGCAGGGCAAGGCAUGACAGCGCCUGUAUUAGCGUUUUCCUGCAUUCAACGGACACAUUCCUGGCCCUGUGUUCAUUCAUUUGUGUGUUCAAUUGUUGGUUCAAGGAUCACUAUUGAAUGUGUACUCUCUGGGACUUUCACAGGUGUGGCAGAGAGAAAUAAAAUACAAACCCUCCCUCUGACAUGCUCACAACAGGUAGGACACUCAGCUAAGAAAAAGUUAUGGACUUCAGCAGGGAAAGUCCAACGCAGGGAACUGGUUGCCAGCCUGAGAGCUGAAGAGGCACCACAGGGUGAGCCCGACAGGAAGCAGCUGCUGGGAAGCAGCCGCCAUUCCCCAGGCCUGAGGAAUCUGAGGGAGGACCUGGGGCUGUGGGAACUUGGAGGCUCCAGGAGGCACCACAGAGUGGAGCUCAGGCCCCAGAGGAGGGGCCUCAGCCAGCCAGGGAAGGUGGGAGGAAGCUAGUUCUGGCAGUGCUAAAGCUGUCAGCAGGGAGGGUGAUUGCUGGGUGACAUUAAAGGAACCGCAAGCAGAUAGAAAGGACAAGUCCCCCAUCCUCUCCUGCCUCUGGUCUGUUCAGUGCCUCCUAUUGACAGAAAUCAAAAGCAAUGCUAUUGCCUAGAGAGGUGGUCUGCCCAGUCCCACCCUGCAUCACACAACAAAGCAGGGUACACAGAGGUGGCUUCGGAGCUCAAAUUAUAGGUACUGAAGGAAGUUGUAGCUACAGUGCAAAAUGUAUUGGGAAACUAUUGAUAGGGAUAAUUGGGUCCACACAAGGGGACUCCUCGUCAAGGAGAGAGAAUUUCAUGUUAGAGGGGGAAACAGGAUAAUAAUUUUAAAUGUCUCUUGUAGUUUUCCUUUCAUUAAUCCAGAGUGCUUUCACCCUGAUGGACAUUAAACACAGACUGAAUCUGAGGCUUAUUGUCACAGGGAAGGGGUAGUGUUGGGUACAGCACAGAACAAAGAAGUCAUUGCUUGGAUUUCUGAAUUUCAAAAUAGUUUUUUAAGUCCCUAGGGAAACAAAAUAGCCUGAGGGAGAGCCUUUUUGAUUUUCAAAAUCUGGCUUUCUGAGACAAAAAAAAAAAAAAUUGUCUCAAAAGCCCAAGAGCCGGCUGUGCAGAAACAGAGGCCAUGGUUUAUUCUAAGCAUAGGGUGCACGAGGCAAGCUCCUGUCUCCUGGGAUAAAAGAAAGGCUUCAGUGAGAGAGGAGGGACCAAGGACCACAGCAGAUUCCAGAGUACUGCUGUGUUUUUUCCUCCGUUCCAUUUGUGGGCCCAACCUGGGGUGGGGAGUGUGCAUGAAUGUGAGACUUCCUGAGCCAGUUCGCAGGAAGUCCCAGAACAAAAAGUUUAUUCCUCAACUCCCCAGCUGCAGGCCUUGCAAACGGCCUGUGCCCCUGAGCCUGUGUGAACUGGGAGCUGCAGCAAUUCCCUGAGGUGGACCUGGGAGAGUGUGUGUCCCCAAGCAGCAUAAUUCCUGGUUUGGAUCUUAGCAGAUUUGAUAUUAUACCCUAUGUGUGGGAAUCGAUUUUCCCAUAUCAUUGCAUAUUAGCUGUGCCUCAUUCAUUUAUACUUAAUGUCAUAUGCUCUAAGAAUAUUCUGUGAUUUAUUAAUCCAUUUUCUGGUCAUUGGCUAUUUGUGUUGCUUCUAAUUUUUAUAUAGUCAAAUUUAUCAGUCUUACCUUUAAUUGUUAGAAAUUUAUGUAACUUACUUAAGAAAUCCUUCUCUACCCUGAGGUCAUAAAGCUUUCUUCUAAAAAUUUUUUAUAAAAAAUUGUUCUUUUACAUUCUCAAUCCAUGUGCAAUUGAUACCUCAGAAUGGUGUGAGGUUAGGGAUCCAGUUUUACUCUUUCAUUGUGGAUAAACAAUUGUGCCAUUUAUUGAAAGCUACACCACAUACUUUGCCCACAUAUUAAUGUUUCAUUAACUACCUUAGAUUGUAAUAUAUUGACAUCUGAUAUUUUAAAAAUACCCCAUUGUACUUUAAUAGUGCUUUGUCAAUUCUUAGUCUAUUCCUUUAAAUUUUUUUUAUUUUAGUUGUAGAUAAACAACAUUCCUUCAUUUCAUUUAUUUAUUUUUAUGUUACUCAUACUAGAUAAGUGCACUACCAUUGAGCUACAAAUGCAGCCCCUGGCCUGUUACUUUUUAUAUGCAUUUUACAAUUGUGUUGUCAAUUUUAAAGAAGCACCCUGGUUGGAAUUCUACUGGAAAUGCAUUGAAUCCAUUGACUUACAAUCCACCCCAAUCUGGCUUCGAUAGCUACAACUCCACUGAAAUUGAUCUUGUUAAAAAUCAUCCAAAAUCUCCAUAUUGCCAAAUCUAUCAGCCUUUACUUUGUUCUCAUUUUACUUGACCUGCAACACGGUGGAGAACUCUCUUUUUAAAUUCACCUUAUACUCUGGGCUUUGGAAACAUCACACUGUUUUUAAACUGAGUUUUUAUAGCUGGCUCUUUCAUCUCUGCCUAACCUCUGAAUGCCAGAAUGCCAUAGGACCUGGUCUUCUAUUUUAUUCUGUCUUUCCUUGUUCUCUUCUGGGUCCAUGCCCUUCAGUGUUGCUACACAUUAAUGACUCCCCGUAUAUAGAUGAACUGAUCUGACCCAAAUAUCCAAUUGCAUACCUGACAUUUCCAGUUGGACUUCAAAUAGACACUGCAAACUGAACAUAUAUAAAAAAUCACCCUUGAGUUCAUUCUAAAUGAUCUUGUCCCAGCCUAGGUAAAUAGCACCAUCAUACACCAGUUGACUAACGACGACAAGGACAAACUAGGCUCUGGAUCAUUCUGGAUGCUUCCUUGCCUUUACCUGCUGCAACUAUUCUUCAGCAGUUUGUAGGCACCACCUCCAAAAUAUUUGAAUCUGUUACUUUUCUCCAUCUGCUCUGCCUCAGUCUACACCACCAUCCUCUUUUGCUCUGAGUUUGAAGCUGCCUCCUAGUUGGUAUCUCUGCAUCCGUUCUCAGCUCUUGGUAAUUCACUCUCCAUUAGGUAAUGAGAGUCAUCUGAGAGUGAGACAGACCAUGUGCUGCCUCUGCUUAAAACUUUCCAAAGGCUUUUCACUGUGAUUAGCAUAAAAUCCAAAUUCCAUACUAAGGCCUUCAGGGUCCUACUAAGCUGACUCCGCCUCCCUCUUAGGUCCUUGCUUACUAACCCCAGCCCCAGUGGCCUCCUGAUGCUUCCCCCAGCCUGCUGAGCUCUUUCCCACUCUAGGACCUUGGCACGUGCUGCUUCUGAUGCUCACUGAAGGCCUUAUUACCUCCUUGUCACCAUGUCAUCAGCUUAGAUAUCCUCAGAGGGGACUUCCUAUCUUCCCAUAGUGUCUCUCACCCAAAAGCCUGAGAUUAUUCUGCUUAUUUGGUUUAAGUGUCUAUUCCUGGCCAGAAUUAAGUUCUCUGAGGGCUGGGGGCCUGGUCUGUCUUGUCACCACCGUGUUCCUAGCCCCUGAAGUAGCACCUGGCACCUUUGAGGUACUCAACAUAUAUUUCCUGAACAGACAGAAGGCCACCCAGAGGAUUAUGUAGUGUGACCAGAGAAGCAGGCAGAUGACCGAGGCUCACAGAGCAUUUUGUUUUUGUUGUUGUGUUUUUUUUACUCAGUCCGUUUUGGACUCAGUAUAGACAGGAGCAAAGAAAGGCAAGCUGGUGUUUUGGGGUAUGAUUGCUUGUGGCAUUUCCUUCCUCACUGCUGUUUACUACUUGUGCAAUAAAUCUCAAAUCAGUGGGGAGAAUGAACUCUGAGUUCAUAUAUUCUCGUAGUGAAAUAAGUCAUAGUUUGCUGAUGAAAAUAGUUUAUAUUUAUGAUUUUGAAAGAAGAAAUGAAACCUAUACAUGAAACCUUAUCUGGGUGUUUUUUUUUUCACCUUGUUUGACAAUCCAAUUUAUGCUUGAAUUCCAGGACUUACACAUUUAUUUUAUUAGUAAAAUUAAUUUUCUUGAGUGCUAGAGAUAGACAUCUGCGCCUCAAGCAUGCUAACUAUGCACUUUGCCACUGAACUACACCCCCAGAUCACAUAUUUUUAAGAUCUAAAAUAAUAAUUCAUCUCCACUGCAAUAAUCAUUCAGUAGACUCAUACAGUUCAUGUUUAAUCUAUUUUGGAGAAAGAUUUAAGCAAUUCUCAAUACAUUAUUUUUUAAAAAAUCCUCCGUUUAAUGAUCAUUUUAGUGAGAUGUACAGGUGAAAAUAGAGAAUUGCUAAUACAACACCCUGCAUAACAAAUAGAAUAUACUGGAAUAGUCAGUAGAUGAUAAUACAUUUGUGCUCAUGCAAUACUGGGAAUUUGUAUUUCCCCUAUUUUAUGUUGAAACCCACCCCAGAGUGGUAGUAUUCGGAGGUGAGGCCUUUCAGAGAUGAUGAGGUCCUGAUGGGGGAUCCCUCGUGAGUGGUUAAUGGCCUUAGAAGAGGCCAGAGAGCUCACAAGCCCUCCUUCCACCAUGUUAGGAUACAGCCAGAAGUUCUGCAGCCCAGAAGGGGCCCUUGCCUAAACCCAACCACGGCCUCCUGAUCAGACUUCUAACCUCCAGACUAGGAGAACUAAAUGUUCGCUGUUGGUGAGCCACCCAUCUACAGCUCCUUGUUAAGCACCCUGAACUAAGAUGGCCUGUACUCUGACUUACUAACAAAUCCAUACUUAGUGCUUCCUGGGUCAGGUGUUGUUCUAGGUUCUUUAAAAUAUGAAUUCAUUUCAUUCUAUUUUCACCCAAACUCUUUGACAUGGGAACUAUUUUACAGAUGAGGAAAUUAGUAGGCACAGAGGAUAAGCAGUGUUCUUGAGCUCCCUGCUUGUGGUAGAGGUGCACAAGGCUUUAAAUCCAGGUGGGUCUUGCUCCCAGCUGUUCACAGCAACUGGAUAUAAUAUUGACUGAAAGCUCAUCAAGGAAAAGAAAUGUUUUCUUUGCCCAGUUGGAAUAACUUUGUUUAUGUAGUUAUUUUAAAUAGUUGUUUCUUCUAAAACACCAUGAGAACUAGCACUACAGGCAGAUUGCUGUGAGGCCACUCAGCACACCUGGCACGCCCCAGGAUGUCACGCAAUGGAGACCUCUUGGGACCUCUGUGCAACUUGGCAGACUCCAGAGGCCCUGCCCACAGACUUGCAUGAAUGGUCUGCUGGAGGGGUGCUGGGUCUGACCCUCAGUGGUGGCCUUGAGGUGGCCAGAAGAUGCAUGGCCAUGAGAACCCUCUCUCCACACAGUCCAUUUUCUGGAUUCAUCCAUUGACGUUUGCUGCCUAAACAGUACAUUAAAACCCUACUCUCUAUUUGAUAAUUGUCAUCUCACUUCCUCAUUUUUAGUUCACUAGAAGAAAAACAUGCUUAAAUAUUUAAAUGUCUCUGUAUAUGGUGCAUAUUAGAGAUUUGUUUUUUCUCUCUGAGAGGUUAUGAUUUUAAAUGCCUCCCUGGGUAAUUUUGGACAAAUCUCUGAUAACAAUGAAAAUGGCAAUAGGACAUGGUAAUAAAUCUAAGCCAAGAUUCUGUGGAAGGCCAGGUUCAUGCCUGGGUCUGCUGGUCUUCAGAGAGUUUUGAGGACACUCUAUUCAAUUCUCAGUCCAGCUGAUGGACAUCAGCUGGAUUUGGACUCUUGGUGCACUGAGCUUACCCCUAAUAGACACUGUCAUCCCCAGCGGGCAGAACUGGAGGAGUCACAUGGAUAUGGGACCUAAGUGGCCCUCUGGUCUAAUUUACUUUCUGACAGAUGAAAAGCCUGAGGUCCAGGAGGUUGACAGAAGCCGUCUAAGCGCAUAUGGCUGGUUGGUGGCAGGAGAGAGAAUAAAUCUGUAAUUCCAAAUGUACCUACUUUUGCUUGUUUUCUGUUAGACUUCACUGCACCCUGUACCUCUGGGUACAAUAGACUUUCUCUAGGCCUUUGUGUUCCAGCUUUGUUAUGUGUCCUCGUCUACCUUUGCUGGGACAAUCAGCAGAGCCUCUGAGCACUGGAUGCUUUCUACUUCAGCUCCAGGCGGGGAAACCCAUCACAAGCUCAAAAACAUACACAGGCAGUUCACUGAUCAUCACUCCAGGUGUGGGCUCUGUCACUAAUGGUGUGAUUAAUUAUUUGGUCAGUGAACUUCUGUAGGCUUCUCCAGUGUGAAGAGAGGAUUGGGUAAGUAGCCUAGGCCCUCAGCAGCACCGUGCCUCUGGGAACUCUCCCUGUGACUGCCAGUCAAAUCAUCCUCAGGGCACAUCUGGAACUCACAGCAAUCUUUAGGUCUUAACUGUGUGAGACCAUGUUUUACGAGCUUGGUCAUGUUGGCUACCUUAUUUUUUUCACAUGUUGCUUCCAGCGCUGAGUACCCAAACCUGCUAGUGCUCUCAAAUUACCAUCAAAUACAUGGCGACCUGACAUUCUGUUCUGGCCAGUCUAGUCUUUUUUGUUUUUGUUUUUGGUCAGAGAGAGGGUUGUUGCUUAAACAAGUAAGAAGGAACUCUCAUGGGUGAGGAGAGGCUUGGGGACCUGUCAAGGGUUGUCACAUGUAGGCCCCAUGGCCGUGGUUAGGUCAGAGUUUGCUAUUUGUUCCUGCUCCAGUGGCCCCACUGGUUCUAAGUUUUCUUCAGACAGAUGGGCCUGAGGUUCAGAGGCCCAGAUAUUUGCUCAGGCUUGGACAGGAACAGACGGACUCACACACAUCUUCUUUCUUGGAGUCCUUGAAUGGACAAAAAGUAGGCCUUAGGCAGAAGAGAAGCACAGAGACCCAGAGACACACUGUGCAAAGGCUCAGAGUCAAGAGGGCAAAAAAAAAAAAACAGGAUUGGGGGGAAAGUUAGAAAAGGAAGGAAGGAAAACAAAUGAAGAUAGAGAGCAGCUGAGUCCCAGGAACGACUGUGGACUCACCAGAGCAAAGAUAAAUGCAUGAGCCCCAGGCAACAACCAUGUGGCGGGAUUCAGCACACACUGUCCUGUGCUCUAGUUUUCAGUGAGACUGGGCCAGCCACAAACCACUUCUAGUAGCCCCAAAGUUGACCACCCCUUUUUCUAACAGUUUCCUCUCCUGCAGAAACCUGAGGCCUCCGGAUCUCAUCAGGCAGAGGAAUCUACAUAAUGUGACAAGGAAUCUACAUAAUGUGACGACUUGACAAUUCCACACUCCACGUUCUCCAGGUGCCUGCGUGUGGCGUGGUGAGCGCUCACCCUGUGAGCCAGCAUGGGACAAGCACUCAGGACAGUUUGCUGGAUGAAGCUGAGACACUGGGUCACUGGGUCACUCUGGCUGCCGAGCAGGUGAAAGAGUUUUUCAGAUGUGCAGCGAGGUGUACCCAGUACAGGCCCGAGCAGAGGGAGCCUCGCAGCAGCUGAGGGAAGAAGGGGCUCAUGUGUAGGAAGAACCCCAGGCAGCCACGGUCUUGCCUCUUGCUUGCUCUACUGCCUCCAGUUCAGACUGGGGGUCAAGGCCCCUGUGGAAGGCAUGCCCUCCCAGCACCCACAUCCCAACACGUGUGUUCAGACUGGUGAGGAGGACCCUGCUCCUUGACACACUCAGCGAGCCCACUCCUGGACUUUGCUGUCCUCAGAGACCAGGGGCGUCAGGGUCUCAACGAUGCCAGGUCAGGGCAUGCAGCACUGCUGCUGGGAGUCAGAAGGACUGUUGGCACAACGCCGAUGCUGGUUGCUUGGUGAGGGAAGAGGGAAGCACGUGAUAGGGACCAUCCAGAUGUCAGAUUCUUCAGGGCCUCCUCCUAGAGGACCCCAGUCACCAUGUGUCAAACAGAGUAACCUUCCAGGAUGGCACAUGUGGUCUGACAAGGGGCUUUGGAAGGUAGUUUCAGUCCGCUGUUGUUUUUUGUAUGGAUGACCUGGGGCCUCUGGGCUUUAGUUUUCCCAUCUGCAAAAUGGAGAUGUUGAUGUGUAAUUUUGAGACAGACCAUCUAAAAGCCAUCGGCAAGAAUGGAGGUCAAAUGAUUUCGAUAAUUGCAGCUGCACACGGGGCUAAAAUAGUUCAAUCUGAGAGUUGAGGGGGUGGGAGGUGAGAAUGGCCUUAGAUGAGGGGGCCUCACUGCCACUGAGGUCACCACCUUUGCCAGCACAUGGAGACGGGCAUGGUGACCUCCUCCCACCUCUGGUUGCUCAUCACUUUGAGGCUUUGGCUCCUCGGAUUUCCCUCAGCACUAAUCACUCUUUUUUUUUUUUUAUUGCUUAUGGUCGUUUGUUGCUCUUCUCUAUUUAGUUAUGAAGUUGACCUUAAAUGCAGUCCAUAACAUCCUAUCCUUAUCCUCUUUUUUAGUGAAUUUUUUCCAACAGAUAGUUAUGGCAGUUUCAAAGCUUUAGCUGCAAAUUUCAGAAAUCCUAAAUCAAGAUAGCUUAUAUAAUAUUGGAGAGUUAAUAGUUUGUUAUUAAAUGGCCCAGAGACAGAUCUUCAGCCAAAGUUUGAUCCAGAACCAAAGAUGACAUCUGGGACCAGUUUCGUUUCUCUCUUCUGUCCUCCCUCAUACUAGCUUUUCUUCAAGCUGUUCCCCAUCAUGAUCCUGAGAUGACCACCGUGACUGCCAACUGCUUCAGUGUUCUCCUCCAUCAGGAAAGAGUGCUUGCCCUUCCCAGCAAAACCCUCAAGAUUUAUUUAUGUAUUUUUCUUGCAGAGCUGGGGAUGGAACCCAAGGCCUUGUGUGUGCUAGGCAAGCGCUCGACCACUGAGCUACUUUCCCAGUUCCCUCAGGAUUGACUUUGACUGGUGAAUUUAGGCUACAUAUCCACUUUGAAUAAGUUUCUGGCCUAGGGAAAUAAUGCACUGAGUAAUUUAGCCUAAGUGACAUCCCCCAUUGCUGGGGAUGGAGGUAGGUUUCAUUUUUUUUCAGAACCUCAUUUCGGCGCUGAUAAGGAAGCGAAUGUGGAGACUCUGAUGCUGAGGAGGCCACUAACCAUGCUGCCUUCCAUGAAGAACCACAAGGCCCAAAUGCUUGAAGACUUUUCCAUUUGAAAACCAGCGUGCGUACUGCUUAAACCAAGGUCAAGGCAUCUGAUGUGACACCAAGUGGCUUUCAUCAACAGGCAUGAGGAGCAGUCUGAACCUUUGCAUUUUCUGAUGUUACAAAACACUGGGUUCUGUACUUCAGUGCUCUCGCCAGGGAAGCUUUCUUGUUUGUGCAUUUCAGCCAUUUUCAACAUGCUCUAAAUUGAAACAGAGAAUGUAUUUUUUUCUUUCUAGUGUUAAAAUCCAAUAAGCAGCGGCACACUGCAGGAAGUCGGUCUAGCCACAGCAAAUCUGUACUUGUUUUUGUGAGAGAGGAUGGGAAGAAUGAAUAUUUGCCCUGUGGCAUCAAUUUCCUGUUUAAUGUUCUCCAAGAAGUGUUUGGAAAAUGCCCAGCUACACAGAUGUACGUAAAUACCAUACAUAACUUGUUUCUGAGUGGGGGGGAGCAGUCUGUGAAGUGGGGACAGGGCUGGCUUGCUUGCCUCCAGAUAGCUGGUAAGCAACUACCUUUGACCUGGUGAUCUGGGGACUAGAUUAUCCGAGUUUGGCACUGGAAGGAAAGCAGCAUAGGAAUAGCGUGGCUUCUUAGACUAUGUUCUUACUCGUGUGUGUGUGUGUGUGUGUGUGUGUGUGUGUAUCAGGGAUAGAACCCAGGGGUGCUUAAUCACUGAGCCACAUCUCCCUUUUUAAAAUUUUAUUUUGAGAUUUUGAGAGAGGGCUUUGCUAAGUGGCUGAGGCUGGCCUUGAACUGGUGAUUCUCCUGGAGUGGCUUCAAUUACAGGUGUGUGCUAUCGCACCUGGCUUGUUCUUAUUCAUUUAAGGCUACUUUUAUCCCAAAGUUUGCAUAUUCUUAUUGGAGAUGGCCUAUAAGAAAUGUAUAUUAAGAGGAUGGUUUUUAAAAACAAAACAGUUCCCUGCAAACAGAAGCCCAUCUGUAAGACGGACAGACACAAAUCUGUUUGUGCAAAGGUGUGCACACACUGCCUAGCGCCUCUUCCAGGGCAGUUUGUAUGCCCCACACAUGCCUUCAGAUCAUCUUAUAUAAAAGGCGAUGGCUGGGUUGGAGGACCAAACUCUUAUUUUUGUUUUAGCAACCAAGCUACAGGGCUACUCUAGAAGUUAAGACCUUGAUCCACAAAGGAAGCUUUAGAGGUAAAGAAUCUGUCCUCUCAUAUAUAAUUUUCAGAUGCCUCCUAAUAAGGCAAGGUGAGAAAUGAAGCCUAUGACCUGUUAAACACCUACGAUGUGAACGGAAGGCCUUUCUAUACAUUGUGACCCAUCCUCACAACAUCCUGUGUUGUGCUCCCUCUCUCCUCCUCUUACAGAUGAGGAAACUGGGACUUAGAGAAGGUAAACUACAGCUCAGGGGCUAGUGAUGCCUGCAUUAAACUCAGUGCGGGUCUGGUUGGUCCUGAAGCCUUAUACAUUCUUCUCAGAUUUAGAAACUGUUACUCUAGCAUUCACAGAUGAGCCUCAGAAAAUUCUCAAGAGCCUAGUUUUCUGUGUAAAUCUGUAAGUGUGUGUUCAUGUGUUCCUAACACUCAUGGGAUUUAUCAGCUGUGUUUCUGGAGCCUGGCACAGACUUCUUCCCUCCCCUUUCCUUGUGCACCCCCCAACCUCAGCCCCUGGAAACUGCCACUCUGGUCUCUACUUCUGUGUGCUCAACUGACUUAGAUUCCACCUGAACAUGAGAUAACAUAAGACAUGUCUUUCUGUGUGUUUUAUUUCAUUUAAUGUAAAGUCCUCCAGGUUUGACUAUGUUGUCACAAGUGACACACUUUCCUGUUUUUUAAUUAUUUGUUAGUGGCUGAAGAAUACUCAGUUGUGUGUAUAUACCAUGUUUUUAAAACACACCCUUUUCACCAUGAACACUUUGUUUCCAAAUCUUGGUCACUGUGAAUGAUGGUGUCUUAAAAAGAGGCGGCCCACCUCCCUUCAGCAUAUCGAUUUCAUUCCUUCGGGUCCACCCGGGAGUGGGAUCACUGGAGUAUGUGGUGUUUCUACUUUUGCUUUUUUUUUUUUUUUGGAGAAACCUCCACACUGCUUUCCACAAUGGCUGUGCUAAUUUGCAACACCACCAACAGUGAACAGGGUUCCCUGAGCCCCGCAGCCUGGCCAACAUGUGUUAAUCUUUCAUCUUUUUGAUAACCGCCAGUGGCACAGGUGUGAGUUGAUACCUCAUUGUGGUUUUAAUUUGCAUUUCUCUGAUGAUUAGAGAUGUUGAGCAUUUUCGCAUAUCACUUUUGGCCAUUUGUGAUUCUUCUUUUGAGAAAUGUCCUAUUCCAGUCCUUUGCUCAUUUUAAAAUGGGGUUGUUUCGUUGUUGUUGAGUAGGCUGAGUCCCUGGUAUGUUUUGGACACUAGCCCCUCUCCUCUGAUGCAUGGUGUGCAGAUGUUUCCUUCUAUCCCUGGAGCUGUCUUUUUACUACUGUGGCCCUCGCUGGGCAGAAGUUCUGGUGUCCCAUGAUUCUGUCUUUGUUGCUGUCAUUGCUUGUGUUCUCAGGGUCCUACCCAAGAAAUCCCUGCCCUGAUCAAUGUUUUGGAGCUUUUCCUGUUUCCUUCAGGUAUAGUUUCAGGUCUCCCAUCAGAGUCUUGGAAAGGUAGGCACAUGAUAAACAUCUGUCCAGUGAUCAAUAGGGGUUCAUGACACAAAGGUCUGGGAGCCACUGAACCUGGUAUGGUUACACUUGUCCCGUCAUCUAUGCAAUGGCUUUGUUUUGGAUACACGCAAUCAUUCUUUAAAAAACAAAUGUUUAAAAAUGCAAGAUUUUGUUAACAGGCCAUUUGAAACUAUUUGAUAUUCAUAUAAAAAGAUUAAAAAGUUUAGACAAUAUCGUCCAAGGAUGGUUUUUCUUAAAGCACACCAGUGCAAAGGUCCCUGGAAACUCUGAAGACCCACACCUAGAACAGAGAUAUCAUGUGAGCUACAAACUCACACCACAUUUGUAAUUUGAAACUUUGUAUUAGCCACAUUUUAAGAAGUAAAAAGAAAUAGGUAAAACUAAUUUUAAUAAUACAUUUUGUUUAACUCAAUACAUCUAUCUACAAAUAUUAGCAUUUCAGUGGGCGAGCAAUGGCAAAGAUCUUUGAGUUAUUUUACAUUAUUUUUUUCACACUCAAUUUUACAUAUUCGAUGUGUAUUUUACCCUCAUUUCAAGGGUCACCUGGGUUUGUGGCCACCAUAAGGAAGAAGGCCACAUGGAGACUUGGGUAGGUAAAAGCCGGGGCAAGGCUGACCAAGCUGGAGAAGGGUUUGGGCCUGUGGGGACACACUUUGGUGAUCCCAGGUAGAGGGGUGUUGGGUCAGGCCGCUGCUCACGUUGCCAAUAUUGCAGAUUUUCAGGUGGUUAUGGAGGCACAGCCCCCGGCAUUUCAGCAGAAGUCUUCCUUUUCCCAGAGUCGCUGUCUUUUCCUUUGAAACGGACGCACAGAUCCUGCGCACACUAGGGGAAGAUGUGAUGCCCAGUAACUAAGUUACACCCCAUAAUUACAAUAAUUUGUUCUUCACCUGGAACAGAGGAUCCAGGUGUUUUAUGGCACAGGAUGGAGGUAGUCCUGGCCCCUUGGGGGAAGAGGACAGGACAGAGGCCCCAGAGCUGCAUCCCUCCCCACCUGAGGAUAAAAGAAGGAGGCUGCAGGGAGCCUGAGGACAGAGGUUUGAGGACAGACCAGGCCACAGAAGAGCCUGGAGUUUUGUUCUGACCUUGACCAGCUUUGCUUAUAGUUCCUUCCUGUCUCUUGAUGUCAUCAAGGGUUUCGCACAGGGUGUGGCCCUGCUCUCUCCAAAGCCCUGGCAUUCAGCACACUUACCACACCUCUGUCACCAGCCAGAGCAGCCUCGUGAUCUGGAAACCACACUCAUUCUGAACUUUUCAGUGACUCCACAUGACGGGCAUAAUGUUGUCUUCCUCCAUAAGAAUCUUAAAUCCAUUUGGGAGGUUACAGUUAGGUUUGCAUGGGUACCAUACCUAGAAUUCCCCAAACUGAGGAAUUAUCUGAAUCCAUAGGACACAAUUUCAUUUUAUCCAUUUGCUUUUGGCUGAUGUUGGAUGUAAACUUUAAAGGAAAAAAUACCUAUGCCACUGAGGAAAGUAGAUAACCUGUUCAUUUGACAAAUUGUAACAACAUCACAGGAUCCUGAUAAAUUAUGAAACAUUGAUGAGGUAAACUCAAACUUUCAGAGAGUAGAAUGACACUCUGCACCCAUAUGAGUGUUGAAAAACGCUGCCAUCACUAUUACCCACCUCUACUGUUACCGCCACCAUCACCAUCAUCACCAGCACUGACACCCCAUAAAUAAUGCCAUUGCCACUAUCACUAGUGUAGCCACCACCACCGUUACUACCGCCACCAUCACCAGCACCCUCACAAGCCUUGCCACCACUGUCAUUGUUACCAUGGCCACCAUCACUAGCGCUGUUGCCAAUACACCUUUCUUUCAUCAGUCCAUUGGGGAAAGAACCUAGCAAAAGAAUGUCUGACAGGGAAUAUCCUCUGCACUGGGGGCCACAUCUUCCUAGCAGGUUAAGGGGCAUGGGGUGGUGUGAACUGGAAAGUGCAGUGUUUGUAAACCGACCCACAAUCCUAGCCAUGUCUUGCUCUUCUUCAAUGACGUCAAGUGACAUUGCUUCCUGAACUAAGAAAGCAAUCGGAGACAGCUGAACUCCCAUGGGGAAUGAGGAGAUGAGAAUGCUUAAUUCUUCAUUCAUAAUGGAGAGAGUCAGCAUGUGGAGGAGCGGACGGGUGGGUGAUGACUCAUGUUCCCUGCACAGGGUACAACCCCCGAAUAAGGAGGCUGUUCCUACAGGCAUAUAUGAAAACAAGGCUCAGGAUUGCAGUCACCAGCCGUGGAAGAUCUCUGACUCAUGUGGUUGAUUUCUAAUUCCUUCUGUGGCAGAGCCGUGCCCCGAUUAUGGCCAGUGUGUAAGCUUGAGCAGCUGAGGAGGACAGAUCUGGAGCAAGUUUCCCAAUUCUUUGAGUUUCAGCGUCUUCUGCCAAUUGGGCUCAUUCAGAUUAAGGUAGAAAUGCAUCAUUCAUCACACAGGAUCCUCAAUACUUACCAGGAAUGAUGCUGUGCUUUCCUCAUCUCUCUCAACCCCCUCUGCUUCCCUGGGAAAGAGGUAUUAUCACCAUCUUCAUCUGACAAAUGCAGAAACCAAGCUCAGCAAGAAGGUCACAGAAGACUUCUACUGUACAAUGAGGUUUCUUGAACAUGCAAGCCAUGUGAUCUGCAAACGUUUACACAUCAAUGGGAGAUGAAAAUUGCCCAAACCCCAAAUAGAAAUACAUAUAGAAAAGCUCACCAAGCUGGAACAACUGGACCAUUUCAAAGGAAAUGCAGUUUGAUUAUUUUCAAGUACAUACAGUAACCAGAAAAAUCACUAACAAGUGCUGGUGGUUCAGGCCCAGAUUUAGUCAACAGAUAAAAACAAUUACCAUGUCUAAGAUAUUCUGGUCUUGCUUAUACUUUGAAUAAGUGUUUUACAAAUAAAAGAAACCUCAAGUGUUGCAAAACAAAUUAUUUUCUUUGGUAAGUAAAUGAUUCUUUUCAAAUACUAUUUAUACUAUUCAUUUACUUACUAAGCCAUUUUUCAUAGAUAGCACAGGGUAUACACUUCAGCUCAGUUCCUUUAAAAAGGAAAGAUUAAAAAUGUCCAGAUCAAAAAGCUUUUAUUGUAAAUGUUGAAAUUUCUCAACAGAUUAACUUAUUUGUCUUUUAGUUCUCUAGAGUAUGAUGUUUUGAAUAAAUGUAAAUUUAUAACAUGCGCAGAAUUUUUGAGAAAUGCAAUAUUUUCUCAAGUUACAUGUUUUUAUCAUUCCUGAGUAUCCUUUAUAAUAGAAUGGAAAGACGGAGAAGGUAGGGUUCUGACUCUGGGCUUUGACAACAUUGCUAGUAGGUCUGCUCCAUUCGCUUUGGUGGACCAGAUUCGGCCUGGCUUGGGGCAUGUCUCGGGGGUGUGGGAUCUGUCAGCUGUUAACCCAUGGAAAAUACGUGAAAUGUGUUCCCCCUUAAAGUUAAUGAAUUAUUGCAAACUGAAAAAUGGGAUUUAUUAAAUAUGGUGGUCCUGGACCGUGCCAAAUCAUUGUGGUUUUUUGGGAACACAGCAAGGUAGCCAGUGGUAUUGCAGUGCGGGGUCGCAGCCCGUCCAGCUGUGGAGCACAUGAUCCUUACUUGGGAGGACAAAUGGCAAUAUUUUUCUAUCCCUGGAGUACAUUCUGCUCUUGAUAUGCCUGCAUAACCACAACGAACAUUUAGUGGGAGUUGCAUACAACGGAGACUCAAGGACUACACUUCUGUCGCCCAAACGAAAAUUCCUUUGGUUGAUCUCUGUCCAGAGCAAGAUUUUCCCUAUCACACAAACAACUAUGUUUGUAUUUUAACUCCAUUUUGUCAGGAUGUCUUUCUUUAUAAAAGCCAACCAAACAUCUGUAAUAAAUUUUUGAUGAUGUGGUAGUUGGUUUUCACUGCAUAUUUAUGGAUUCAACCAAAUUCAAAGUUCAGUAAACACAUUUUAAUCGCCUGUUUUCUGACCAGCAGUGUGACCUGCAUAGGCAAUGGAAGAGCAACAGACUGUGUCCCCUGUGAACUUUCUGUUUGGAGAGAUAUGUCAUGUGCAGCUAGAACCAUGAACACACAGAGCGGAAGAGACCUUGGGGGAUCAUGCUGUCUUGGGGUUCAGUGUGCAAACUCAGAGUUUGCACAACUAGUAAAGCAUAGAGACUGGUUGGCACUAUGUCCUGUGUCUGUACCCAGUGCUAAGGGACAGCUUCUUUCUUACUUGGUAAGUUUUCUGGCUUGCAGAAUGUGGGUCUCUUGUUGCCUAAUCUGACUUUUUUCAGAGGCUAGGAUUCCAAGUGUCCUAAAAUUUCCCAAUUUUUCAACCUUGCCAACUAAUUUGAGUUUUCCUAAGAUUAAAUGAAACACAUCUGUGAGCCUUAUCCUACCUCUGGCCUGCCGUUUUGCAGCCUCUGGUCUAGAGUAAUCCUUCUAUUUUUGUAGAUGUAGAAAAUGGCUUUCCAAAGCAUGGGCGCUAUUAUCAGGACUCCCAGUUCAAAGCUCUGUCACUAACUACACCUUUGCUCAACAAGAAAACAACCAGAUGACUCACAAAGAAAGACACUGUAGUUACAAAGCGACAUGUUAAAAGUCUCUUAGGAAAACGAAAUUAGGGUGGGAGGAGAAAUUAGGUGGGAGGAGAAGAAAUGGAGAGUUCAUGGCAGGAAGAAUUGAAGGAGGUUUUUGCAAAUGACCUUCAAGCUAGAUCUUGAAGUAAGCGACUGAUAAAUAUUGACAAAAGAACAACAAAGAGGUAGAGGAGAAUAAAGUGAGGAAAAUACAUGGCUAGGGAUUUACAAAUGGCUUUGCAAGACAGCACAGAGAACAGCUGGCCUGGCUGGGGAGGAAAAGUCAGGCCACUCAUUCAUUCAACAAAUAUUUUUUAAGUUCAAAUAUGUUCCAGGCACUGUUCUAGGCUAUAGGGAUACAAAAGUGCACAGGAGAGCAAGUUCCAGGCUCCAUGUGGGUUAUUUAUUCCAGUGGUAGACAGAUGACAACCAAGUGAACUAGGGUAAGAUAAUACGAAUAAAAUAAAACUAAGAAACGUAAGUAAAGCAGCUGUGAGUGUCCCAAAUUCACUGGGAUGGUCAGGGAAGGCCUCUCUGAUGAGAUGGCAUUGUGCAGAGUCUCUAGUGAUUAGGAACCAGUCAUGCAAUGAACUGAACAAGGAGCUCUCGAGGCAGAGGGAGAGACAGGUGCCCAGGGCCUCUGGUGGGAAGGAACGGAAAGAACGAGUGUGGCUACUGCUGAGGGGGGGUUUGGUAACCGUGGUGGAAAAUGAGUCCGAAAGACAGGCAGGUACCUCUCAGGCCUUGGUAAGGAAUUUGGAAUAAAAUAAGGUUUCUUGCAGGGAGGAAGCAUAAGCUGAUUGUCGAUAGAGCAUUUCCAGCCCAGAUGUAGUUAUCACUUGACACCUGGUAAGAAAAGAGGCAGAUCAUGAUGGUGGUGGAAUUGAAGCUGGGGAGACAGUUGGUUUCUAGGAGAUGCUAUAGAUUCUUAUGGGCAGAGCAAGGAUGAAUACAGGGCCUGGGGUCUCUGCUGUCCAGAGAGCAGAAGGAUUUCAGCCAAAAGUGGUGGAAAAAGUGAAGAAGAAGAAGCACUCUUCAAUGAACACUCAGCCGGAGGACUCCAUGCAGGUCCCAGCGAAGGAAAAGAGCAGAACUACGGACAGGAGCUGCCGAGUCUCAGAGCAGGAGAUCUGUUGGAAGUGGCCUUGGUGAUGAAGAUGAGAGGAUCCUAUCUGGACUUUAUCUUUUAGGGAGUCCUGAGACAUGUCUUAUAGGCAACCAGAAAUACACAAGUAGAGAGGCCUGGGACUGAAAGGACAGGGCAGGAGAAAAAAACCGAAAGUGCUCUUUGUAUCAGUUGAAAUGGAGGCUAACAAGAAGCGGAUCUUCCCGAAGGAAUACAAGGAGGAGAAGCCAGUCGGAGACCAAACUGAAUAUAUCCCAGCACAAGUAGGCAUUUGUCGUUUUGUUUUUUAGACUGAUCUGUUGGUUUAAGGGAAAAAGUCAAAGACCUUUGUGAAUUUGGGCUUGGAAAAAAAUAGCUUGCUGGAAGUCAGAGGCUAUUCUUUAUUGAUUUAAUAAACACAAAUGUUUUAUGAUAAGGAAGUAUGAUCUAGAACAAACUUUAAAGACACAUUCAAUUUAGGCUCAGUUGGAUGGCUUCUAAUAUUUUCCUGAAAACUCCAAUUUCACUAUGGAGUCUAAGGCUGAUAGUCCUGAGCUUAAAAGCUCUCAGUUUGCAAACAAAACAAAACAAAACUUCAGGCAGUCUUUUUAAACAUGUAUUUUUAUUUUUAAUUGCCAUUAUAGUAAAUGUAUAUAUUUAUGGGGUAGAGUAUAACAUUUUAAUACAUGCAUGGAAUGUGUAAGAAUCAGAUCAGUGUAACUGACAUAUCUAUUACCUCAGACAUUUAUCUUUGUGUUGGGAACAUUCAAAACCCUCUCUAGUAUCUAUUUUGAAAUAUUGAGUUAAUUGUUGACAACCAUUAUUAUCCUACCAUGCUAUAGGACAUUAGAAGUUGUUCCUCUCAUCCAACUGCUGUAACCUCUGUAAGCACAACCUCCCCUUCCUGCCAUCUCCCUCCCCCAGAUCCUCCCCAGACUCUGGUAACCACUAUUCUAUUCCCUACUUCUUUGAGGUCAACUGCUUAGCUUCCACGUGUGUUAGUCAGUUUUCCAUGACUGUAAUACCUGAGUAACCAACUUAAAAAGAGGUUUAUUUUGGCUCUCAGUUUCAGAGGAACCAGUCCCUGAUUAGGUGGCCCUGUGGCUUGCAGCUUGUGGUGAGUCAGCACAUGGUAGAUCAACCUACUCUGGACAGCUAGGAACCAAAACGAGAGGAAGAGGAUGGGCCAGAGGCACAAGGCCCCCUUUAAGGGCACGCCCUCCUAUGUCUAGAAGACUUGUAACUGGGCCCAACCUCUGAAAGGUUUCACACCUCUCAGGACACCAUGGUCUGGGCACCAAUCCCAAGCCUUUAACAUGUGGGCCUUUGGAAGUCUUAUCCAAACUGUAGCCACCUGUAAGGGAGAACACGUCCUACCUGUCUUUGUGUGCCUGACCUAUUUCACUUAACAUAAAGUCCUCCAGUGCUGGCUGUGUUGCUGCAAAUGGCAGAAUUUCAUUCUUCUUAUGGCUGAAUAGUAUUCCACUGGGCCAUAUACCAUGUUUUCUUUAUCCAUUCAUCUGUCAGUAGACACUAAGGUUCAUUGUCUUGGCUCUUGUGAAUAGAGCUGCCAUAAACAUGGGAGUAUAGAUGUCUCUUAGGCAUAUUCUCUUCAAUUCUUGGAUUUAUACCCAGUGGUAUGAUUGCUGAAUCAUAUGGUGGUUCUAUUUCUAGGUUUUUGGGUUCUCUCUCUCUCUCUCUCUCUCUCUGUGUGUGUGUGUGUGGUGCUGGGGAUUAUACCCAGGGCCUUGUGCAUACCAGCUCUAUCAGCUGAGCUAUACCCCAGACCUAUUUCUAGUUUUUUUUUUUUAAUAAUUUUUUAUUCUUUUUUUUUUUAAUAUUUAUUUUUUAGUUUUUGGCGGACACAACAUCUUUGUUUGUAUGUGGUGCUGAGGAUCGAACCCGGGCCGCACGCAUGCCAGGCGAGCGCGCUACCUCUUGAGCCACAUCCCCAGCCCCUCUAGUUUUUUUUUUUGAGGAAACUCCACAGUUUUUCAUAAUGGCUGCACUAAUUUACAUUCUUACCAACAGUGCAUGAGAGUUCCCCUUUCUCUACACCCUCACCAGAGUUUGUUAGUUGUUUUUUUGAUGACAGCCGUUCUAACUGGAGUCCCACGAUAUCUCUUUGUGGUUUUGAUUUGCAUUUCCCUGAUUGCUGAUGUUGGGCACCUUUCCUACACCUGUUGGCCAUUUGUAUACCCUCUUUUGAGAAAUGUCUAUUUAGGUCCCUUGCCCAUUUUUAAAUCAGAUGAUUUGUUUUGGGUUUUUUUUUUUCUUUCGCUGUUGAAUUGUUUGAGUUUCUUAUAUGUUCUGUGACAUAAUCCCUUGCUAGAUGGAGAAUCUGCAGUUAUCUCCUUCUGAUCCACAGGAGCUGUUCUUUCUCUGUCCAGUGCUUCCUCCAUUCUGCAGAAGACUAUGGUUGGGUGAAACCCUGUCACCUUUGCUUUUGUCACCAUACUUUUGGGGUCAUAUCCAAAGAAUCUGCCCAGACCAAAGUCCUGGAUCAAUUUCUCAGGCAGCCUUUUAAACCAGCUCUUUAACCAUGAAAAAAUAUUAAUUUUAUCUUUCAACAAAAGUUAAAUUUGACAAGGUCUUUACUAGUAGGAGAGUAAUUGUUUUAGUCUAGCACAGAGCAGGAGAUAAUGUAAAGAAGCAGGAUUUGAGUGUUGGACCCAUGACUACUGUCAGUCAAUUCCUCUUAAAAAGAGGAAUCAGCACCAUCAAUUGAUUAAGGUGGGAAAAAGCAAUGACUAGCAUUGCCAUUCGAGUUGCCACUGUGUGUCUUCUUCAAAGAAAUUCAAAGAAAAUUAACGAGACCACUCAAGAAAAUUCUAAAGGAAUUUUUUAAAACUAUUUUUUAAAAAUGUUUCUUUUAUUAUUUUUUUAUUUGUGUUUGGGAAAACUACUAUUGUUUUGUAAACAUUACAUGUUUGCCAGUGUUCAUCAUUAAGAAUCAAAACAGCAUAAAUCUGAAUGUAGGGAAAAUCAUCUCAAUUUCCACCCCAUGACAUUAUCAUUUUUAAGAGUAUAAAAAUAUUUUCCAGGUGGGAGGAUGGGUAGGUAAAAAUGUAGUAGGGAUUUGGAGGCUGAGGCAGGAGGAUCACGAGUUCAAAGCCAGCCUCAGCAAAAGUGAGGUGCUCAGCAACUCAGUGAGACCCUGUCUCUAAAUAAAAUACAAAAUAGGGCUGGGGAUGUGGCUCAGUGCUGGAGAGUCCCUGAGUUCAAUCCCCAGUACCAAAAGAGGAGUAGGGAGAUAGAGAAUUGUUUUAUCUUAUGUUUUUGGUGCUUGGAUGGAACCGGGAACGCACAUGCGUGAGGCAGUGCCCUACCACUGAGUUCUACCCCUAGCCCGGAGAAUGGCUUUUAAAAAAGUUGGAUUCUGUGGUGCUUUGUACAAUGUAUUACAUGUAAUUUGACCUGGAUUUCAAUACAGUAAAAAGAAAAAGAAAAGGCAAAAAUAAGUUGAAAAAAAGGUAGAAUAAAUAUUGGGAACCCUGAGAGGCCCUUGCUCUUUGGCCUCGGUGACCCUGUACAAGGUGUGCUAAUUUGUGAUUUAAUAGACAUUGAUCAGGUUUAUGUGCAUUACGUUAAGGUACAUAUUGAACACUUCAUUUUGAUAUAUUACCCUCAUUAACUUUCAUGUUUAAUCCAAUUCAGUUAUAGUGUAUGGGAGCGUCUUUUGUGGGAACAUACUUUCCAUUGAUACAGGCUAAAAGCUGGGAGAGAUAAAAUGAUCCAGGAAGUUCUCUCUUUGCAUGAUCCAGGAUAUGCAUGAACUUCAUCUACCACAUUUUCAUUAAAUAAUGCCUGUUCUCCACUAAGAAUUCAAGUUUCAGUUACCAAGGUCUAUUCAUCAUUAACUGUAUAAAGUACAAACUCCGCUACACACAAAUCACUACGUAAAUAGCGAAUGCACAUCAGGAUCCCUGGACAACAAGUCACUUCCUAGAGACAGGGAUGGGCCCCUAUGUGUCUGUGGUUGUCACCCUUAGAGAGCAAGGCGAGCAGCUAUGUUUCCUUCUUAUCUCCCAGUGAUUCUCCCUGGUGAUAUUUCUGCAAGGGGCUAUCAAAGAAGUGAAUUGAAACAGAGAUGAAAGUGCAGGAGGAAAUGAAAAGUGACGGUGCUGGAGGUGCCACUUGAGUUCAGGGUGGAUGGCGCCACUGAGGACAGAGCUGAUGGGGCCACUGGGACACUGCAGGGUUUGCAGAGCCUCUGGGUCUGCAGCUGGGCAGGAUGCAGGAAAACACUUCACAUUAAAGAAACCUUCGGAGAAAUGUCCUGACGGUAAAAGGGCAGACACUACACUGUGGGGAAGGAAUCUAAACGUAGAAAGGAACAUGACAAGGUGCCACGUGUAGGAAAGAGAUGGUGAGCUGUGUAGAGGAAAGACCAGUGCUGUGGGCUGCCCUGGAUGAGUUCUGGAAGAAGCAGGGUGCUGGAGUCUGCGGUGUCUCUAAGGUUUUCAUUAAGGUGCACUGAGGACACGUCAGUUUUGUUGUUUUCAUUUUCCUGUACAUUCACAAUCGACUAUGGGAGAGAUUUUUAUGUUCUCACAAGCCUCUUUCAAGUUCUGGAAUGAUCAUUCAUGCUGAUAUUGAAACUGCUUCCCACGGCCCUGCGGGUGGGUGGUUUCCACAGUCCUCAUCUGCUGUGCAAAGACAGCUCGGCCUGGACUUCAUGUAUCGUGCAGAUUAGCACGAAUAUAUAUUUUUGUCCCCAUAUCAUGUAUCUUGACUCCCUCGUUAGAUUUUAAGCUACUUACUUGCAGGAAUAAGACCUUCUACAUUGCCCACUCCACCUGGCAUAGCACUGAACAUUUGCUAAGUACUUAGUUGACUUCUUAAUCACUUAUUCUUAUGGUGAAUGACCGGGUAUUAGUAAAGUGUGAAGUCAUAAUAAUAAAUACUAUUUGUUUCAUUAGAGAGUAAGUUUUUCCCAUUUUAUUUUUCACAGUUAGGGCUACAAAAUAUGGCCCCAGAUUGUUUCCUGCCAGUUCCAGGUGUCUGUUCCUGUGGAGGAGGAAGCCAAUGGUGGGGGAUCUGCCUUUGUACAACCUGUGCCAGCUCAGGGCAGCCUGGUACAAUCCCUAGCCCCUUAAACAAUGCCUGCCACAGCAGAGGCACAUCAUGGAUGAUUUAAAUAAAAAUUAUUAUGACUGUGCAUUGCACAUUACUCUGUGCCAGAUGUUUUACAUUCAUUUUCUCAUUUAAUCCUUAUGAUAAUUCUAUGGCCCCCAUAUUACAGAUGAGAAAAGCUUGGCUCAGAUAUUAAGUGCCUCACCCAGAAUGGGCAUGUUGGAGCUGGAAGUUGAAUCAGGGCUGUCUUUCUGUGUCUGGGCCAUUACCCUGAUGAUAAGCUGGCAGCAGGGCCAUCGUGUGAUGUAGAAAUGGGUUAUAGAGAAAGAUGAUACGAGUAAAUGAUCUCUUCCAAUUCAUUCUUUUUCUUUUCUUUUUUUUUUUUUUAAAUCAUGGAGGAAUAUUUCUUGCCAGAUUUAUUUUUGAAAUUAUUCCAGUUAUAAUUUCUUUUAAGAUAUUUCUUUUUAAAAGCCCUUUAAAAAAACACAAAAUGUAAUUCCUAUAAUGAUAGCUUGAAAUAGAAACAGCCAUCAAUCACAUGAUGACUAUUUAGAAAAACCUCUGUUCGUGGGCCACUUUAUGAAGUUUUUCUGUUCUAUAAACUAGGGGUAUGUGUGCACAACACUGCUUACAUUUUAAAACAAGUUCAAGUUAAAAGAAACCCAUUUGUUCUGCGUUGGUGUCCCCCCCAGGAGCUCUAGGUCGUUCUGGCUGAUGUGAGGGCUGCAGGGAGAGGUGUCGCUGCAGCUCGUACGCCCUGCGUGCUUCUGCUCACUUUCACUUCCUGCCUAAGCAGCAGCACCUCACAUGGACCACAGAAGGCUUCCUGGAAGACAUGCCCUAUUGCACGUGAGGAUUCAAGAGCCAACUGGGCCCCGGUGGAUGCCAUGGAACCAGCUGGCAGACCUGCGACUGUGGAGAGCUCUCCUCAUGCUCAGCUUGGCAAAGCUGCUCCUCUUGCUUGUUCUCCUUUUCUUUGUACAUAAUAAAAUGGGCUUUUGAUUACUCUUCUCCCCAGAAAAUAUACAUAUAUAUGCUGUUUGGUGGAAGACUUGAGUCCACUGUUGAACAGAAAUGUGUCUUUCUGUCUGUUUCUCUCUGCUUCCAGUUUCUCAAUCUCUGUCUCCCCUUUCCUCUUGUAUCCCAAGGAUUCUGUUAUAAAAGCUUGUGUGUGAGAACGAGACCUUUGUUCUCUAGACUUCUUGCUGUGUGCAAUUCACAAUUCCCUUUCUGCCCUUGGCCUUCCUUCAGAUCUUCACAGUUGUCUUCCUCUUUUUUAAGCCA